Molecule: long non-coding RNA, 68898 nt
Filed under: Malus domestica (apple)
Lineage: Eukaryota; Viridiplantae; Streptophyta; Magnoliopsida; Rosales; Rosaceae
Description: long non-coding RNA (MDOM_LNC001335)
Source: RNAcentral
GCGCAUGCGAUCGAAAAAUUGCUCGGGGUCGUCGUCGGCAGAGCUAACAAGCCGGUCGAGAAGGAGCUUCUGCUCCUUAGCCUCGAGCUCGCUGACGUCGAUCUCCAUGGUGUCUCCGACGACGUUUCUGAAAAUGCCGCGCCGUACUCGAGCGUAGGUCGGGAGCCGCUCCAGCGCGGCCCACCGCAGCGCUUCCUCAUCGUCCCCUUCCUCCCGAAACGACCCCGAUCUCGCGAACACGUUCUCCGCCGAGUUCCACAUCGGAAAUCCCCAAAAGCUCUCCCUAGCCACAGAAAAAUGCACAGGCUUAGGCUGAAGAGGGAGAUAAGAGAGAGAGAGAGAGAGAGAGAGAGAGAGAGAGAGGCUAAUUAAAAGUGGAGUGUGAAUGUGAGAUGGACAUGUUUGAUUGCUGGAAAUGGUGGUUGGAGCUCUGCAUUUAAUUUUUCUGUGUAAAUAAGUAAGUCUUGUUGUUUGUUGUGACGGAUGAGAGAGAGACAGCUUCUACUUUCUCUCUCUAAAAUGACCGUUAAAAUUUUUCAGAUUUUGUGCAGGACAACAAAGAGAGGGUUUCAUUUAAUGGCCGCGGGAAAGACAAUAAGCCGGAGGCCUCUUUCAAACGUCGACUCGCGCGGCUGUUUAAAUCAAUUCUAUUCGCUCCACGGAUGAAGCUUCUAUCUCAUCCAACGGCUGGACUUAAUCGUGAAAAGGGGAAGUUUCAAAUUUAUCUAUUUUUAGAGGCUCAAAAUAAUUGAUACCCUUGUUUUCUUUUUCACAUACGAAAUAAGAAAACUCUGUUCUAUGGUACUAUUGAUCGAGACCCUUCAAAAACAACUCGAGCGCUUUCAACACCUCUCGAAUAAUAUAACAAGAAGUAAAUAUGACACUCAAGACAAUAAAAAUGACUCGACAAGCGCUCGAGAAAAGCUUAAGACGUACUUGAGAGUGGCAACUAAAGGUAGAUAAACAAUUUGAGUGCAAUUAAAUUAUGACUCAGAAGCGAGGCGUAAUAGUUGAAUAGGUACUUCCUAACGUCACGUGUUGAUUCUGCACGCAUUUCGAUGUCAGGACAUAUGACAUAUGGACGGUUUAAGGACUUAUUUUUGUGUGAGAUGUAUCAGUGAAAUAAGCUAAUAGGGACCGCAUGAUUUAAAUUAAGUGAUCGAAAUCUCUCAGUCUAUCAACUUCAAGCGCAAAAUUCUAAGAAGUUCUCAAUUUACAAGACCAAGACCUAUUAAGUAUUUUCACAUACAAAAAUAGCAUAUUUUAUAAAUUAAAGAAUCAAACAUAUUUUUGAGCCCACUAAAAAUCAAAUUUCCAACAUUCCCACUGUGAAGUGUGAAACGACCGUUGGUUUUGUUGAUAGGUCUGGCGCGUGUGGGUUAUUUUCGUGGGAAUUUAAAUGAAACGGUUGGAAAGGUGUGAUUUUACUGAUUUACCACCCUGUUGGGUUGAUUCGGAGUUCAAAAACGGCAUGUCUUUAAACCGAAGCAUUUAUCCAUUAUCCACCAUUUCGUCGCAAAGGUGAGGCAUUGCCUAUUUUGUGGAAGCUUUUCCAUUGCCAUUGCUCGCUAUACUCGUGUGUUCUCUCCCAAUGUUAGUUCUCGUUAUUUCUAACUGUUGAUGCAUUCUAAUUCUCCACAGUUCUUAGUUGAGUUUGACAUUGUCAGUUGCUCAUAAUUUAUAAUCGUUGAUUCAUAAUAAGUCAUAGCUAAUCAUGUUAGUCGCCUAUUGUUGAUGGAUGGUAGGUAAGAUAUUUGAUGAUUAUUAUCUACAAUUCCUCAUCGUUGAUAUCCAAAAUUUCUAACAAUUGAUGCAUUGUGGGUCAUGGCUGCUCUGGUAUUCCAAAAUUCUUCAUCAUUGAUGCAUUAUUGGUUAGGAAUGCUUUGGUCAAUCGUCUACAAUCCUAAUUGUUAACGCAUUGUCAGAUAAGAACAGUCUAGACCAUCACUUGCAAUUCCGUAUGUGAACGACAGAACAUAUAAACUUUUGUAUGUUUCAGGUCAGAAUUGUAUUUGAUCAUAUGGUUAAUAUGAUAAAUGGAGGGUAAAUGCAAUUUCUUAAUUUGUAUAUUUUUUGGUAGCAUGAGAACUUCAUUUCAUCAAUAUGGCAUGGCAGUUCUUAACCCCACUGAAAGUGACAUUUUCAUCAGAAUAGCUUCUGUUAAAUUGUCUUGUUGUCUUCUCUAUAUCGUAUGAAAAAUUGUGGACUUUCAAAUCCUAGUCGUUUUCAUGUACCAAAAAUAUUGCAAUUUCUGCCAUCGAUGGUCAGAAAAUAUUUGACCUACUCAAACCAAAAUCUAGAACCACCACGGAAUGAUUCAGUGGUAGGAGACGAAUUACAGACUCAUAUUCCAUAUGACACGUUUUGGGUUUAAUCUCUGGCGCUAGAGAAAGAACAAGUGACAAGUCAAUAUGGCAUGGCAGUUCUUAACCCCACUGAAAGUGACAUUUUCAUCAGAAUAGCUUCUGUUAAAUUGUCUUGUUGUCUUCUCUAUAUCGUAUGAAAAAUUGUGGACUUUCAAAUCCUAGUCGUUUUCAUGUACCAAAAAUAUUGCAAUUUCUGCCAUCGAUGGUCAGAAAAUAUUUGACCUACUCAAACCAAAAUCUAGAACCACCACGGAAUGAUUCAGUGGUAGGAGACGAAUUACAGACUCAUAUUCCAUAUGACACGUUUUGGGUUUAAUCUCUGGCGCUGGUGAAUUACAUGAUAAUAGUUAAGGGAAGGCUGAAAUAUCUUUGUAAGUCUUCCGAGCUCUCAAAAAAGUAAAAUAUAUAACGUAGAGAGAAAAUGUCAUAACUUUUAUAGUCAAGCUAGGAAGUUGUCUUCGACACUACACGUAUAUAACAAAGGGUAAUGUCAAGGAGACUAAAUUUGUAAACAAAAUUUUAGAAACUAAAGGACAUGAAAGUUGAUGACUGAUUUAUUACUUAAAGGUUGAUAAACGUAGUCAUUCCUAUUGAUGACACAUGAUUUAACAAGGAAGAAAUCUAUGGUAAGAGUUAGGUGAUCAAAAAGCAAAAAAGACAGGUGGGAUUUAAAUUCUGCCUCCGUUACGGACGAGAAUUUGGUUUAUAUGGAGAAAGAACAAGUGACAAGUCAAAGGAAAAGAAAAAAAAACUAUUCAGACAACGGAAAUUGGAAAACAUUUCCCUGCCAACUGCAUAUUAUUAUUGUUCCUUUGCCCUUUACUUGUUGGCAAUGGCGUUGGGAUAUUAAUGGGAAAACUAAAUGCCCAAGGCCCAGCAUUGAAAAUAUGUAACACCACCACUGCUGGUUCAUAUGUAGUUGCAAAAGCUCAAUAAUUCAUUCAAAUCCUUCAAAUACAACAAUAAAACUUUGUUCCACUAAGCAGGUCAAUGGUAUGAAUCCUGGAACAUCAUUGUGCUCAAUUUUGCGUCAAGUCAUCAUUUACCCCUAUUACCCUAAACCUAUGUGUCAAAAGUGCAUUCUCUAACAUGAGAAUUUGUAGGUCUUCGGUUCACAUAUCCAACCAUUUUAACCAAUUUUCCUUCAUCUAUCUUCAAUUGCAGUUAUUCACACUUUAUCUCAGAUAUCCUCGUUCCUAAUAUUGUCCUUCUAAUCCACCAAAUAAGUGGUGGAAUUUAUUGCUAUAUGUUUUUGAUGUGCACACCUUGACGAAAAUAUUGUUUAAAGUUUCAAUAAAAUUGACCAAGAUGCUAAGGCAUUUACAUAAUUGAGCAUGUUUAUGGAACAAUGUGAUCAUACAUACAAAAUCAUAUGUCUGAAGUUUGAAAUAUGCAAGGUUGAGAUGUGCAUGGCACAUAGACUCGUGACUCUGUGAGUUGUUUAAUUAUUACAUCAAGAAAACCAAACUUCCUCACCUCUCUUGAAUCUUAACGGGCAAUAUUGCAUCAAGGACUUACUUCCCUCGUUGUGUACUAGUUGGUGGAGAGUAGUUCACAUCGGUGAAUGGUGAGCGACUAUUAACAAUAGUCAUGAUCAAUCAUAAGAAUUAGAAAACCAUGUAUAAGGAUGUGUGUGUGCGCGCGCGUAUGAGGCCUUUAAGCGAAGGGAUCUUUAUUUUUAUUUUUUAUUUUUUUAAAAUAGGAAUUAGUUGUGAGGUACAUAUUACAUCGAACUUCAACGAUCCGAACCGUCUAUUAUUCAAGUUGUACCUCAUAGAUCAUCCUUAGAAAAUAUAGCCAAAUCGGAUACUUCAGAUAUCUAAAUGAGUUCAAAUAAAUUAACGAACACUUUGUUCUAUAAUAAACAAUGAAAUUUCAUCGUGAUAAUUAAAUAGUUAAAUGGUUUUAUAUUGAAUUAAAUUUUUGUAAUGAUGAUCUAUGAAUCAAGACUUACAAAAUAAAUGGUUCAUAUAGUUGAAAUUCAAUGUGGAGUGGGUCCCACAACUAAUCCACAUUAUAUACAGUUUAUAGGUUGAACCGGAAUUUUAUGACGCGAAUGUACACAAAGACGGAGUAAUUAAUGCACAUGCACUCUUUAAGUUUGUUAUAUUCUUUUAUAUUAAACAAAAUAAAGGAGAACUAGGAGAUAUAAACAAUAUGAAUGUGAAGAUGAUACUCUAAAUGAAUUACAAUUUUAGAUUGUAAAUUUAAAUGUCAAUUAUCAAUAAUAAGUGAUUUAACAGGUGGAGUUCACUUUGUAGAGAUAAGCGUGGUUCAAUUUGAUUCAAUUCAAGUCUUAAACAAUACCCCAAUCAAUGUAGCAACAUCGUUAAGAUUGGUUUUGGUUUAAUAGUUUCUUAAUACGUUAAUUCGACCUGAACCAAACCAAGCUAAUUAUAAUUUAAUUUAGUUCAACCUAAAUUUUUACCUUUUAAUUCUAAAAGUCGAACCUAUAAAUUUAAGUUUAAGACCUCUCUUCCUAUAGGCAUUCGGCCUUAAUAAUCCAUGCUUUCGGCCCAUACAACAUAUCACCUUUAAGGCUACACAUGGGCCUGACCUUGUCGGUUGUCCAUUACAUUUUAGGCUUUAAUUUUGGGCCGCUGGCCCUCAUUCUCACAAAAGGCGAACCAAUACCCUGGACGAUGCCGUUUCAAUGCCGCGGCAAACAGGCGCUGAAAAAUGGAGGGAGUUCCGGCGCCGCUUCCGACGCCGCAAUCGAAACCUUAAGAACCAGAGGAUGGUGCUUCGCGACCACGAACAAGUGGAGGCGAUGAUCCUGCUCCACUCCGCCUUGUCCGACGACAAGCGUACGGUGGUGAAUUCAGUGGAAGCCGAGCUCACCAACAUGGUCCUCAAAUCUAUCUCCGCUAGGUCCUUGCCCGACCCGCAUACGCUCCAAAUGUCCUCUCACCUCCUCGGCUCCAAGGUCCUCCAGGUAAAUCACACCUCUCUGUAUUUCUCGUUAAUUUAUCUCGUUUUCUGUUUGGUUGCUGAGAAAAUAGAUGAAGAGAAAGCAAUGUGGGCUCACAGAAGCGUCGUUCCUGGAACUAAGGUACUUACUGCUACUUGAUGAUUGCUUGCUCAAUGCUCAGCUUGUGUUAUACAUGUAAAUAAGUUAAAGAUUUCUUUGAUUGAUCACUUUUUGGAAUUUGAAUAUGUUCAGUUUAGUAUGAAAUUGAGAUAGAUUAUGGAAAACAACGGCAAAUGGGAUAAUAACAUAUUUAGAAACUAACACUUUCUUAGAACAUAGUAAUGAACACUGUGCUUCGUAUUUGUGUAUGCAAUCUUGAAGCGAAUCCACAUCCAAUUUUUAAUUGAUGUAAGUGUAUUUUCAUGAAACUCAGUAUGAAUUUCAUAAGAAGUUUUAGGUGUCUCUCUAAACUCAAUAUGAACUUCAAUCAAUCGCAGAUGAAUAAAAAGUAUUCAUUUGAGAAGUUGCAAGUUGGGGCAGCUAAAAGUCGGUUUCCUCAACAGGACAAAUUGCUGUUACCAUAAUUUUCAACCACUCAACGUUGUUAUUGCAGGCAUAACUCAUGGGGAUGAUACAAUCAUGGGCAGAUUACUCUAGUCUGAUGUUAGCUCCAGGAGUAGUGGACUAUCGCCAGAAAUACUGAGGUUAGAUCAGUUGGAAGGCAGCAGAACCUUCAAUUGAAAGCAAGAGGAUAAAAAUUAUAAAAAAAUUGAGACAGAUAACAGACAGAAGGCAGAUUCCCUUGAUGAAAGAACUCAAGACAAACCGAGUAGCUCAGCAACGAAACCAACCAGCUGCACAAAAUCUUCCUCAAAAAAUGAGUCAUCGAAACCGUGAUGACAAGCAUUCAAGAGGCAGACAGUUUGGGGGAAAAGGGGAGGCAAGAGGAAGAGCCCGAUGGGAAAAGAGAAAAGCCGGGGCAAAGCCUUCAAUUGGAGGUGCCUGUACAGGUAGUAGUCGUGAUGAGGAACUUGCACGGCAGCUCCAAAAUCAAUUUGAUUUGGAUGAUUAUCAUGUCAGUGUGUCAGCAUAUUCUGAUCAUUAAAAUUGGUAUUGGUGUUGUAUUGCAAGAUUUCUGAUGUUAUUGUGCUGCAACUGAAGGUACAAAAGUGUCCUCAUGAUGUGGAUGCAGAGAAUAUUAAAAUGAGCAUGUUCAGCUACCAAAAAGCUGUCUCCUUUUAUUUUUAUUUUUUUAAUUGAAGUCCAUAAACACGUGUAAGCUAUAUUUGUUGUGUUCAUUUUGUUUUACUGUGUCUGUGUGACAUCUUAACCUGAUGGUGUUUACAGAAGGACACAACAUGUAGAUGUAGCAAAUGUGUUUUGUAAGGGCCGAAGAAACUGAUCAUGGGCAGGUGUUUGCAAUUGGUUUUCAGGUAAGGGAUGUAAUUAGCACUCAUAAAGUGGGGAACAGUCAAAGUUCACCAUUUUUAGAAUAAGUGGCAAUAGCGGAACUGAGAAAUGAAAUUGUAGAGCGCAUGUAUAUUUAUCCUUCGAAAGUGUAGUUUUUGGGAACACAAUUUCAUGCACAAUUCAUAUUUUUGCUUUUCAUUUUUUUCUGUUUGUUCUGUUAAUGGUUAAGAAGACAUGAAUCAUAUGUAUGUAAAUAUUGCAUAUCGUAUAUAUACCUAGAACUUUUGACAUGUUUUAUAUGGUUUUAAAACCUGUAGCAUCACUAGUAGAAACUAAAAUCGGUGAAGGAAGCUUUUGAACUCAUCAGAGUGGAAGGGAAGUGGAGAAAAUUUCCGAGAUAUUCUAUUGAGCAAUCCAUCAUUUCUGAGUCUUGCAAAUGAGAUUUUUUUUAUCUUAACAGGAACAACCCAACUCCGCCUAUGUCUUACAUGGCCGGUCCCAAGCCCGGAUAAAGGAGGAGGGGGAGGGCGUCAGGUAGUCGACAGCCGGCACUCCAUGAUCACGUCGAAUCCUUAUGAAAAUGAACAGGAACAACCCUACAAUCUUACAGACAACUUCCUUAUAAAGUUUUGGAGAAUCCAACAGAAGACUCUUUUGAUUGCGCAAACGAGUUCAUCGACUGCAAAGGUAUUAGAAAAGGUAAUAAAUCUUUUAGUAAAUGUAGAGUCAAAAGGUAGUAGAAACCAUUGAUUGGCAUCUUGAGGCUAUCAUUGAUUUUCUUUCUAACCUUAAAAGUAAAUUCGAGUAGUAUUUGUCAAAUAUUUGGGUGAAUGUCUUAUAUUGAUUGUUGUAAUGUUACUUGAUGUAAUAAAUUCAAAAUUCAAAACAACUAAUUGAAAUAAAUCAUAGGAAUCCGAAGAAAAAAAAGCAUGAAAUCUGGACUCGCCUCAUUCUGCACAAAUGAGUUUAUCAGAUGCGUCAUGGCUUGGUCCUCCCUCAUCAUCAUGGCUUGGUCCUCCCUCAUCAUCAUGGCUUGCUCCUUCCUCAUCCCAAUCCCAGUCAAAAUCGCUUCUAGUGUCGUGCAUAUUUUCCUUCAUAAGUUUGUCCCAUACUAGAUUAACCCCUGUUCUCAUUAUUUUACAGAAUUAUCCCACUUCGCCAAUCGAAUUUCAAAAACUAUAUCAACUUUAUCCCCGCCUUGCAAAUUGAGCUCAUUGUUCGACAGUUGUCCCUGCCAAAGAUAAUCAUCUUCAUAAUUCUCAUACUCCACAGGUACUCUGGUUUUGUAGGCCAGCAACUUCGUACGCUUGGUAUUACUUAUAAUAGUAAUCUUAAGAUCAGGUAAUUCUUUUCUUCCGCAUUUGCGGAACAAGCAGAACAGAGUUAGCCCUUUAAAAUUAUGAUCAUCGGUCGGGAGAAUAUCAAAACUGACUUGAGUGCCCUCGUUGACAAAAGCAAACCAAUCAGGAACAUAAUUCCCAUGGAGAGCAAUGCCACCUAAUCCGCAAGAAGUCCAUCCCUAUAUAUACAAUACAAGUGUCAUAUAUAUAUAUACAUGUAUGCGCACGAUAGGAAGGCAAUGAGAGGGAGAGAGCGAGAUACCUGUAGGAUGUUCUUCCUAAAAUCAGCUGUGAGAUUGGUGCACCUUUUCAUAUCAAUCCACACCAUGGAGUUUAAUGACUUAUCCAAGCCUGGAACCUCAGUGAGUUUGGCUGAAUCACUUACAUCCAGUUCUCUCAUAUUUGACAUUUCCGAAAAGUCCGGCAUUGUUUCCAAUCCAGGGCAAUCAUCGGCAAGCAGAACUUUCAGAUUUGUUGGCAAAUCAAGGAUUGUACAAAGACAUUUGCUUCCAUUUAACCACAAUGUUUCGAGCUUUGAAAGACCACUGAGUUUUGGUAAGCUACGAAACUUAUUACCAUUCAAAGAUAAACGAGUGAGAUUCUUCAAUCCUACUAUGGAAGGUGGUACUUCUCUUAAGGCUGUUUCCUCUGCUUCAAGUAUUCUCAAUGAUAUCAUCUCCCCUAAAUCCUCAUGCACUUCUCUGAAAUCUCUACAUCCAUUAAGAAGAAGAGUCUCAACAGAUUUGGACUUAUAGAAAUCCCCUGGAAGAGAAAUAAGCUUAUCACACCACUUAAGGUUCACCAAAGAAAGUCUUUUAAGAUGACCAAUGGAGGGGUGAAUCUCGGACAAAAGGAAACACCCUUCCAUUAUCAACUCUUCAAGAUUUGGGACUUGUGAAAAGUCCAGUGAUUUCUGUAAGCACCAGGAAUAGCUGAGAUCAAGGGUUUUCAAGUUAUGUAGCGACUGUUGCAGAAAAUCAAAAGAAAAUUGAAAUUAAUAUCCGAAAUGAAGAUGUUAUAAAAAAAAGAGAAGAAAACCAAAAAACAAAUAGAAACAGAACAUCAUCAGGUGUAAUUCAUUGUACCUUGGAACCCUCCCAAACUUGUACCAGAUAGCUCCACUGCAUCUCUAAACCAACUAGUUUAUCUUGAUUGAAAAUGUCAUCUGGUAUGGACUUUAAAGGGCAUCCUUCCCAACUCAGAUAUUUGUAUUUUCCUUUGAGUUUUAUGCUGAUGCUGUAAAGGGAUAAACGAGUGAGAUUCUUCAAUCCUAAUAUGGAAGGUGGUACUUCUCUUAUGGCUGGUUGCUCUGCUUCAAGUGUUCUCAAUGAUAUCAUCUCCCCUAUAUCCUCAUGCAGUUCUCUGAAUUGGUAACAGCUAUUAAGAAGAAGAGUCUCAAUAGAUUUUGACUUAUAGAAAUCCCCUGGAAGAGAAAUAAGCUCGUGACAUCCGCUAAGGUUCACCAAAGAAAGUCUUUUAAGAUGACCAAUGGAGGGGUGAAUCUCGGACAAACUCUUACACGAUACCAAUAUCAACUCUUCAAGAUUUGGGACUUGUGAAAAGUCCGGUGAUUUCUGUAAGGAAUGGGAAUAGCUGAGAUCAAGGUUUUUCAAGUUAUGUAGCGACUGUUGCAGAAAAGCAAAAGAAAAUUGAAAUUAAUAUCUGAAAUGAAGAUGUUACAAAAAAAAGAGAAGAAAUCCAAAAAACAAAUAGAAACAGAACAUCAUCAGGUGUAAUUCAUUAUACCUUGGAACCCUUCCAAACUUGUACCAGUUUGCUAAACGGCAUGUGUAAAACAACUAGUCUUGGUUGAUUAAAAAAGUCAUCUGGUAUGGACUUUAAAGGGCAGUAAUUCCAACGCAACCAUAUUAACUCUUUGGGAAGAUGUUUGUAUUCUCCAUUGAGCUCUACGUUGCUGAGCAGAAGCAAUCUCAGUUUCUUCAUUUUGGCAAAUGCUUUUGUACUGAAACUAGUUCCUUUAGUGGAAUAUAGAGCAAGUCCUUCAAUUUUUCCAGUUCCCUGUUAACAAAAAAAAAAAAAGUUAUAGUGGUAAGAAACGGUAUAUCUGCAUAUGUUUACAUGUAUUAUUAUUAUUCAUUACGCAAAAUCACGUACGGUGAAUAUAUUUACACAUGAAUGUUGUUUAAUGUAUAAUUGACUUGCGCGGGUUACAUAUAUGGUUUUCUUGUAUGAUGCAUAAAUCCAAAAUUUAUUGGGAAUGAACUUACAGAUUUAUUUGUCAAUACAUCGGUGACCUCUUGACGGUUCCACAACCUACUCCAAUUUCCAGGGUGAUUAGGAGAUUUUUCAGAAAUGAUUACUCUGGCCAUUUCUCGAAGCAAAUCAUGCAUAUUCAAAUUGUUGCCUUCAACAGUUACAAGACAUCGUUCGCAAAGGACACUGAUUCCUACUAUUGCAUAAAAUCCACAUCCAUCUAAUAUUUUGGCAACAUAGUCCUUGUCCUUUCCAAUAAAGAAACAAGAUAUGUCAAGGAAUGUAGCCUUCUCUGUAUCAUUUAGCCCUUCAAAGCUUAUUCUUAGUGGUUUUAUUAUUUCUCCUUCAGGAAUUCUUUCCAAUUUCUCCAAUUGACUUUUCCACUCUUUAAUGGGUCUUUUAAACAAAAGAGAACCUAAAACUUCAAGGGCUAGUGGCAAACCUCCACAAUAAGAAACAACAUUUUUUGAGACUUCAAGAUAUUCUUCAUCAGGGCAACUUUUUUUAAAGGCAUGCCAACUAAAGAGCUCCAGAGCUUCUUCCUUAUUCAUUUCCCGAAGCGGAUAUGUCUUGUCCACUUCCACUUGCUUUAGUAAAUGUUUAUUUCGUGUCGUCAUGAUAAUUCUACUUCCUGGACCAAACCAAUCGUGACUUCGGGCUAUUGCAUCCAAUUGUUUCCGGUCAUCGAUAUCGUCAAUGAUGAUAAGUACCCUUCUAUGUUGAACUACUUGUUGUAUCAUACUGAUACCUAAGUCAACACUUUUUAUUUGAGACUUCUGUUUCAAGAUGUCAGAAAUAAGUGUUUCUUGCAAAUAAACCAGACCAUGUUUACUUGAAGUGUCGCGAACGUCGGCAAGGAAACUUUUGAAUUCAAACAUAUGAUGAAUUUGGUUAUAAAUGGCUUUGGCAGUUGUUGUUUUACCCAAGCCACCCAUCCCCCAAAUUCCAACCAUGAGAACAUCAUUUGAUCCACCACUUGAAAGAUCAUUGAUAAUAUCUUGAAUGCGAGAUUUGAUUCCAAUUGGGUGCUUGGCCACAUGUAAUUUGUUUGUUCUGUGGAGCCAUUCCCAAAUAUUCUGGUCAACAAUUUUUUUAAUGAACUCUGCUUCGUACCUGAAAAUUGAAUUCGUAAGCGUUAAUGGGACUCUGAGGCCCUGUAGGAGAUAUCAGUACAUAAACAAUUUUCUUUCUUUUCUUCAUAUAUAUAUAAUACACUAACUAGCAGCUAGCAUGUGAUUUUGUGCCGAUAACUUGAAUAAAAGAAAGAAAGUAGUUAGGUGUAUGAAUUAAACUACAAUUACGGGUUAGGUUUUAUAUGAGAGAUUAAGGUGUAUUCAUUAAGCAUGUGAACUAAAGUUUAGAUCCGUCGAGCUUUUCUUAAAAAAAAAAAAAAAAAAAAAAAAAAAAAAGAGGAUUAUAUAAAAUGUUAAUUAAGCAUGUUAAUUAAUUGAGAGAUCAAGUCAUUCACUAAAAUGUUUCAAAUCUUGAAAUAAGCAGGUAAAUGAUUACCCGUUGCCAGUUGUUUGGUGGUCAGACAAAUUUGUAGCUUCUGUAUGAGCCUCUCUUCGCCUCUUGCUGACAUGUGAAGGAUCAGCGUGAGAGAUUAAGGUGUAUUAAUUAAGUAUGUUAAUCAGAGUAUUACAACUUAAAUCUUGAAAAGCAGGUGAAUAAUUACCCAUCAUUAGCGAUUUUAAGAUGGUGGCCAGACAAUUUUCCAGCUUCUGUGAGAGCCUCUCUCCAUUGCUUUACCCUUUUUUGUUUAGCUUCACGUUUCUUGUCAUCUGUUUCUUCAUGGAUGUCCUUUUCGUGUUCCCGAAAUGCUUCAGCUAAAUCUCCGUUCUGAUUCCUGACAUGCGAAGGAUCAACGUGAUAGAAUAUUGGCAAAACAUGUCGCCCCAAUUUGUCUCUGCACUCCAUGAUCUUCACCAGCUCGUCAAGACACCAACUCGAAUCCGCAUACAUCUUUGAGAAGACAAUGAUAGAGAUCUUCGACUCUUCGAUUGCCCCUAACAGUUCCCCUCUUAUUUCUUCCCCUCUUUUUAGACCGUCCUCGUCAAUAAAGACACGGUAUCCUUUGUCUUUUAGUGCCUGGUGGAGGUAGCCGGUGAAGCCAUAUCGCGUGUCUUUGCCGCUGAAGCUCAAGAACACGUCGUAACUCCAAAGUUUUGACUUGGAGGAGGACGAAGAGGAGGCUUCGUGGGCUGUCAUGGUGGUAGCCACCGUUAUGGCACUGCAGUGGUUCAGAUCAGAGACUGAAAAAUGGCAAUGGUUGUGGAUGUGUUGCCGAAGGAUGAUACCUAAACACAAGUCAAGAUCCUUCAAUAAACAAAAGCAAAAGGUUUAUAAUAUAAUAAUGUUGGCGUAUGGACUGGAGAAACGACACGCUACCGGGCGGGAAGGGACAAGGAAAGAGAGUGGAAAAGAGGAAAGAAAGGAACACAAAAGGACAGACUACCGACACGUAAUAGGACGAUGGAAGGCAGGAAAACGUGUGUUGAUCCCUAGGAUCCCCAGCAAUUAGAUCCGGCGAGGAUCCAAUUCCGGCAGGAAAGAAAGGAACUCUGAAAUAUGCUUUAUCCACGUGAAGGAAAAGGCUCAUGUUUGCUUUUCUUCAAGAAUAUCUGAACACAAGGAAAAGGCUCACGUGAAGGAAAAAGGCUCCUGUUUAAUUAAGAUCUACCUCACAUUACAUUUAUUCCCAACCAAUGUUAGUAACAUUCUGUUUUAGUUUUGCCUUUAUACAUUAAUUUUCUCCAAGAACAUAUACAUUAAUUUUUUUCGCACUAUGUUUUUAUUCUGCUAUAUCUCUCCUUGCCAAAGAUAAUCGCUUUCGAGUUCAUGAGAUUUUGGUAGUACUGAGGUAAAUGUUAUUAAGGCGUGCAAAGCAGCAUGCUUGGUAGAAUUUAUAUCAACACUUUAAAUAUCACUUUCAGGCAUAACAAAAUCAGCAAUAUUUUCCUCAUAAGCAAACUCAAACCACUUGGGAAUAUCAUAAAUACAAUGAGACAAAUGCCACCACAUCGACAAGAAGUCCAUUCCUAUACAUGUUUAAGUGUACAAGAAUCUCACAUAAAAUUUGACAAAAUUAAAGGUAACUUAUAUUUGACAAAAUUAAAGAUAACUUAUAUUUGACAAAAUUAAAGAUAACUUAUAUUGUGGUUUCCACUUCUAAUUAUACCAAAGUAUUUUAUGAUUAAACUUUCAUAUAUGCUAUGUUGUGCAUGGGGUAAGAUUCAAGUUGAGAGAAAGUAUUGGUGUGAUUAAUGAUGGGUCGUUGAUCAAUCUAUAAAUCUUUACAAUAUUUGCAUUUGUUAUGUGUGUGUGGUAAGCUACCAAGGAUAAUACCGAAAUAAAUACCCAAGUCUAAAUCUUAAUAAUAUAGCUUUCACGUUAAAAACUUGAGAAAUGACCGAGUUCAAGGAACGGAGAGUUGCACAAAAUUGAAGUUGCAGAGACAAUCCAUUUUAGUAUAAAAAUAUUCACGUACAUAUAAACUAGCGCAGAGUCAAAGUCAUGCAACUUUGUCGUUUUGAGAUUUUAAUUAAACAUAUAAAGUUCUAUUUUUGUUGUUUUGAUUUUUAAACUGGUAGUAAAACGUUACCAGAUGAGCUUUUAAUUUAUAUUAGUCCUAAUUACUGUAAGAAACACCAUACCAACAAGCCACCAAAGUCUUAAGUGUUAUAUUAUAAAUAAAACUAGUUUUUGGUUUGGAAUUAUGAUGCUUUAUGGCUUCGUUUGGAGUUAUGAUGUUUUAUAAAAAAACUAAACAAUGAGAGAAGGUAUUGAUAAGAAUUUGCUCACCUUAUCCAAUCAAUGCCAAUGAUCCUGAAGUGAGUGUCAAGUGCAUUGAAAUUUGUAUAGAACUCUUUUUCCUGUCAAGUGCACUGAGAAUCACACAUCUGUGAAUCAUAAGAAUAAUGUUAGAAUUCUUUUUCCUGUCAAAUUGAAUGGUGAUGAUUUGAUUUAGUAAUCAUAAAUAUUUAACACAUUGUACUAAAAAAAAUUGAACGUAAUAAAGAAUGUAAGGAUUGACAAAAGUACAGACAUAAUCAGAAUUUUAGAAAGCAAAUUAUCAAACGUUCAAAUUUUUUAAAGCUUUUGGAUUAGUUUUUUACUUGCAUUGUUGUCUAUAAUUUAUUGAACUCCAAGAGAGAUAAUUGGGAAGCGAAGGUCCCAUGGGAUGGAAGGUUGUUGACAAUCGGUAACAGAUGAAAGCCCACAAAACUCAAAAAUAACUAUUUUUUAAAAUACGGGGUUUUGUAAAUCUUAUUAAGCUUUAAGCACAAAUGAGUUUGUUCUUAUAUUCACCAUUUAUUUUUUCUAUCGAUUAAGAGGCUAUAAUUUCAGGAAAAAAUUAGUAGGUCGAAGUCCUAUUCAAAAGAAAGAUAAUAAAUAUAUUUCAAUUUGAAAUUGGGCAUAAGGAAAAUGAGAAAAAAAAAAUUCUUUACUUUCAUUUGCAUCGAUGAGGAGAAUAGAGAUAAAGAGAACUACAUGCAAUUAGCUGUGCAAACCAUUUAUUUAAUAUUAAACUAAAUUAACAUUGAAAUCUUGAACUGCAUUACAAUAGUUGAGAUUAAGUUACUAAAAAAUGUUUUUUAAUAUUAACAGAGAGAUUAUAUAAUUGACAAAGAAACUAAAGAAGGUGCAUAUACAAAUAUAUAACUGCAUAUAUAUGUAUAUAUUAGUACUGUGUUUGGUGUGCUGGAGGAAUACAAAAAACUGAGACUUUUUUAAAGCAUAGAAACAGAGAGAAGAAACAAUUGGAAGUGAAGUUUGAAAUCUUAAGGAGGGGCAUUAAAAGAAGCACAAAAAUGUACGCUGAUGAUUUUGCACUUUGGUGAGUGGUAUUAGUAGCACUGCUUUUCUGGUUAACAAAAGUAGGACUUAUGGGGGUUGAGACACUUGUACAAAUCUUAUCAACAAAGGAAUAGAUGAUAUAUAUAAUUAUAUAUAGGUCAUAAAUUAAACAUGCCAGAUUUAUAAUAUGAAAAACUUUUAACAAAGCAAAAUUCUUUUCGUCCCAACUAUCACACACUAAACCUGUUUUGUUACUGUAUUUAUAAAAUAACUAAAGGUCACAGUACAAAAAGAGAAACAGUCCUGAGACCCCAACAAAAAUUUGCAAACUUUCAACAGCUAAAUAAUGGAUAUUAAAAUCAAAACUCUCAUGAGGCAUUUUCUUUAAAGAUUCCCAAUUCUCAACCACCAAUUUGUCAGGCAACACACUGAUUAGAUUCAGAUCUAACGGGUUGGAAUCAAGGAAAAUAAAUAAAAGAAAAAAGGGAAAAUCCCCACAGAUUUUGAAAUGUACAGAAUACCCCAGAUGGCCAAUAUGUAAAACCCCUCCCCCCCCCCCCAAAACAAAAACAAAAGUUGGGGGCAUAAGAAAGAUCUUAAGAUCAGAUCCCAGAAGAUAAAAAUUAUUAAAAAGUAAGAAAGUCAGUACCGUUUUACUGAAAACAGCAGCUUUCUCCUCCUCUCUUCAGAAACAACUACAACCAGAAGAAAAUAACCCCAAAAGAAAAAGGAUUAGUCCCAAACAAUUAAGUAAAUUCAAUUUAACUGACAGAAAAUUAAAAAAAAACCCAUUCCUUAUAAUUUCAGAUCGUAAUUUCAGGAUUAAAUUCUGCGAGAAAUUGGCAGAAAGGAAAGAGAUAGAUAGAUAUAUAGAUAGGGGGAGAGAGAGAAUGAACCUUAGCACCCAGAACAGAGAGAUAAACAUCCUCCAGUUGAAUUAAAGUUUCAAUAAAAAUGAUUAAUCAGAGAGCCGAAAAGGAGUACGCUUUGGAGAAGAGUUUGAGAGAAAGUUGGGUUACAGUGAAAGUAAAACUGUAGAACGGACCAGAUAGAUCUUCAUGUAUAGAAAUAUUGGGGGUAGAGCAAGUUGGGUUAGAGUGAUAUAGUUUUGGCAAGUGACAGGCAGGGCAAGGAAAAUGUGGAUGGAGCAAUGCCAAAAGUCUACGUGCUAUAUUAUAAGAUGAGGCUUUAAUUUAUAUUAGUCAUAAUUUCCUAGUAAAAAUCACUAUACCAACAAGCCACAAAAGUCUACGUGCUAUAUUAUAUAAAUAAAAUUAGUUUCUGUUUUGGAGUUAUGGUGCUUUAAAAGAGUUUGAACGAAAUACUUCUGGUAUUGUUUAUUUUUAAAUAAAAAUCAUAUUUUUACAUUUCCUUGAUACUAUUCAGUACAUCUUUAUUUAUCAUUUUUUAUUAAAACUAAAAAAAAAUUUGAACUUUUCGUUAGUUUUCUUGCUUUAAAAAGAAAAAAUUUAUUAAAAAAUUUGAGACAUUAAAUUUGUUUGCUAAAAAGAAAUGCUUUUGUAAACAACUGAUGUCAAGAAGCAUCGUUGAAGAUAAGGAAAUUGAGCGUCUCCAAAGCAAAAUAUAUGAAAGUCCUGAGUGAAUGAGUGAAGAAACAACCGAAGUUAGAGCCCACCGCACAUCGCCACCCACUCUCAUACAUCUUGUCAAACUGAAAAAAACAAACGCAAACACCCAUUAUUUUAGCGAGAGAAAAUAAACUAAUAUUACUGUAAAACAAACAAAGAUCAUCAACUUAUUUUAGGACAAAAUUUUAUAAUACUAGCAUAAAAUUAUGUUAAAAAAUAUAAAAUGACGAGAAAUUCAUACAGAUUUUUAUUUUUGUUAAAGUUUCCUUUAACUUUUUUCUUGUUUUAAUUAGUGAUAACUAUUUUAAGUCUCCUCUGAAAGCAAAGCAUCUUUUGAGGUCACUCUUUAAAAAUUAAUUAUACUAAAGUUCAACAAAACAUAAUAAUAAUUAAACAAAUCAUGUUAUUUAACUCAAGUUUUGACAUGAAGGAGGAUGAAGAGAAGGCUCCAUGGACUGUCAUGGCGGUAUUCACCGAUAUGGUGCUGCAAUGAUUCAGAUCACUACUGAAAAAAUGGCAGUAGUUGUGUUUUGUUUGAUUUAUUGAAUUCAAUGUUUAAAAUGUAAUCAUCUUCUCCAAGUGAAGGACUUUUUAAGUCUCCUCCGUGUAAUAGUCACAGGUCGGUGGAAAAGCAAGUUAAGCUCCUUCAAUGAACAAGAGCAAAAGUAAUCCUCCACUCUAUUUCUUACUUGUUUCGCGGCAACGACAUCCAAACGCGAAACAUCUUCAUGAUUUCGGCCCACCCAACAAGACCAGUAUAUCGACCUUUAAGGCUACAAAUGGGCCUGCCCUUGUGGGCCUUAAUUUUGGGCUAUUGGCCCUCAUUAUCAUAAAACAGGAACCAAUACUCCCUACGAUGCCGUUUCAUGACUUAUUUGGGACUGUACAGUCUGUACCGUACAUUUGUCCUUUUUACCGCCAGGUCCUUGCCGGAUCCGCAUUCGCUCCGAAAGUCCUCUCACCAUCCUUUGUGUUCUCGUUAAUUUUUAUUAAAAAAAGAAUAUAAACAAAUAAUAUUACUCUCUUCUAAAAGCCAGCAGAAAAAAAAAAAAUCGAGAUCCUUCAAUCGUCGGCAUGAUGUACACAUGUUGUUCACCAUGGGAAGGGAAAAAUCGGAGUCUUCCAUUUGCUUCCAGAACUCUGGAGCUCUCUCUUGGACCCGAACCCCUGGCCUCCACAAAUGCGGCUCACCCAUGUUUUUGUGGUGUAUAAUUUGAUCAACCGUGAGCUGCCAACCACUUGGAAAAUGCUAGAUUUAGAUUGAGCUGUUUAUAAGAUGGUUUACCUAUUAUCUUUUAAUUUCAUAGACCCCUUGUAAGUUGUAAGCAAUCCAAUAAAAACAGGUUUGGUCAUGAUUGAAAAUGGAGUUUACUCAAGUAAACCAUCUCCAAGAAUACGCAUAUGAAAACGUGAAACAAAUUGCACGCUAACCUAAUACUAAUCAUAAUAAUGUACAAAAGUUAAAUAUAGAAUCAUAGCAACAGAGGUAUGCAGAUUCAAUUUUGCGAUGGCAACAAAUUAAAAUUGCUCACACAAAAAAUUAUUCUUCUACAUCUUUGAUGGGAACAUAAUCCUCUACUUUUUUUACCAAAAGAAAAAAAAAAAAACACACACACACACACACAACAGGAUAACUAAAGGAGGAUGAUUAUCUACCCUCCUAUUCUCAUCCCCUCCUCUUACACAUUGUUUUUUGUCUUAUUAUCUCUAUAAAAAAAUCAAUAUAAGAUGUUGACGUGGCUUAACCGUGACCGUUCAAAUAGGAGAGGAUGGAAGGGUGGAGAGAUUAGGAGGGUAAAGAAUACUCCUCCAUAACUAAGGUCCUUAUUAGUCAUUUUACAAAUGGAUAAAUUUGUAAUUAAAAAAUUCAUUAAAAAGUGAGUGGGAAGAUAAGACAUUAGGAUGAAAAUAACAACUCUCAAAAUAUAUAUGACUAUUGGACGCGACGAAUAUCAUUUUGUAUUACAAAAUAAGUUAAAAAAUGUCACUUAGUACUACAGUCUAGUGGUAUUACUCUCAACUUGUAAGUGAGAGGUUUUAAGUUCAAUUCUUGCCAAAAGUGAAUUUGAACUAUAUUAUUACUAGUCCAUUAUGAGGCUAAGCUAACCUCAUAUCUCUUAGUGUAGAUAUAUCAUUUGUUAAACAAAAAAAAGAAGCACAACAUAGCAAUGCAUGGUUGAGACAUAGACUCGUGAGUUGUUUAAUUAUUCCUUCAAGAAAGCCUAACUUCCUCAUCUCUCUUGAAUCUUAACGGACGAUAUUGCAUCAAGGACUUGCUUCUCUCGCUGUGUGUGUGUGUGUGUGUGAAUGGUACCUUUUGAUAUGGUUAAAAUGUGGGUUAUCAGUAAUUCAGCUAUGGCCAACAAAUACCAACUUAUACACCAUUUAUAGGUUCAACCAAAAUUUUAUGACGCAGUUGUACACAUAUAUGGAGUAAUGCAUCGGUUAUAAAUGACAAAAGAACGAGGAUGAGGAGUGAUUUCCGUAGUCUCUUGUUGUCCACCUGCACUCCUUAAGUUUGUUAUAUUCUUUUAUAUUGAACAAAAUAAAAGAGAACUAGUGGGCAUAAAUAAUGAGGUGUGAAGAUCAUUACUCUAAACAAAUCCCUUUUAUCUUUUUUUUUUAAAGAAAGGGACCAGCUGGUGACUUCGCCACGACAGUCUACCUGGGAGUCAGGAAGACUUACAUAGGCAUUUUAGCCAUCUCAUGGCCAUCAUCGUGUAAUUCGCCAAUGCUAGGAAUUGAAUUGAACAUAAGAUAUGCCACUUGAAAUACAAGCCUGAAAUUCAUCCCCGACCACUGGGCCAUCCUAUGGUGGUUCAAGCAGAUCACAUUUUUAGACUGUUUGAAUUAAUAUGCCAAUUAUCAAUAAUAAUUAAUGUUACAAGUGGUCGUCACUUUGGAGAGUUAUCAGUUUGAUUCGGUUCCAUUCUUAAACAAUACACCAAUCAACGUAGCAACAUCGUUCAAAUUGAUUUUGAUUUUAGCAGUUUCCAAAUACAUCAAACCGAGCCAAACCAAGCCAAGCUAUGGAUUUAGUUCAAUCUGAAAUUGCUCCCUUUCAUUAUAAAAUACGUUAAACUGCUUGGAUUGGUUUCCAUACAAUGAUAUCAUUUUUUGGGGCAAUGCAAUGUUUUAUUUCCAUUAGAAGCAGAGGCAUAAAUUUAUAUGAAACUCGUUAUUCAUAAAAUUCAAAUUUAAAAUCUCUUAUCUAUAAGUGAAAAGAAAUAUUACUAUAUCAUAAUAUUAAGUGUCAGCCACUUGAAAUGGUUUAGUUUGAACAGUUCGGACGAUUUUUCCCCACACCUGCGUACUCGCCGCAAAAGUGAUGUGCCAUGUCGGACUGGAUCAUCCUAUAGCCAUUGGGCCAUAAUGGGCCAAUUCAUGCCUUCGGCCCACCUAACAUAUCGACCUUUAAGGCUACACAUGGGCCUGCCCUUGUCGGUUGUCCGUUACAAUGUUGGUGUUGAUUUUGGCCAUUUGCCCUCAUUCUCACAAAAGGGGAACCAAUCCCCCUACGAUGCCGUUUGUUGACAUACUUGGGACCGUACCGUACAUUUGCCUUUUUUGUUGCAAAAUUCAGAAAAACCCGGCGAACAGGCGCCAAAAAUAUAGAGGGGAGUUCCGACGCCGCAAUCGAACCCUAAGAAGCAAAUGGUGGUGCUUCGGGGACCUUGAACAAGUGAAGGCGAUGAUCCUGACCCACUCCGCCUUGCCCGACGACACGCGUACGGUGGUGAAUACAGUGCAAGCCGAGCUCACUAACAUGGACCUCAAAUCCAUCUCCGCCAGGUCCUUGCCCGACCCGCAUGCGAUCUCAAAGUCCUCUCACAUCCUCGGCCCCAAAGUCCUCCAGGUUAAUCACACCUCUCUAUAGUUCUCGUUAAUUUUUCUUGUUUUCUGUUUGGUUGCCGAGAAAAAAGAUUAAGAGAAAGAAAAAUGUGGUCUUUCGUUUGGGGUUUAUUAUUUAUUUAUCAGAAUGCUUGGGUAAGAGACGUUGGUAAAAUCUUGUUCCAAGUUACUUUCUGAUACUUGAUGCUUUUUUGAUUUUGAAUAUGUUCAGUUUAGUAUUCAAACUUAGCAUUUCAUAAUCUAGCUCAAUUUCAUGCUAGUUUGAAUACCAAACUGAACGUAUUCAAAAAUCCAAACCUUAUGCUAGCAUGUCAGGAGUCAAGAUUAAUGAAAAGGUACUAGAACUGUUGACUGACGUCUUGAAGCUUUCAUUGAUUUUCUAACCUUAAAAGUAAAUUCCUGAAAUAUGUGGUGGAAGCAGGGUAAGUAUUUGUGCGAAUUCGAGUAGUAUUUGUCAAACCUUUUGAUGAAUGUCUUAUAUUGAUUGUUGUAAUGUUGAAAUGUUUCUAGAUGCAAUAUAUGUAAGUAAAUUAUGCAACGGAAAAACUUAUUCACAAUUAUCAACUUAACCACUUACCUGUAGAAGACAUCGUCUCAGAGAACUAGGAUUAAUAACUGAAGUUCUUCUGCAACUCUACACAACCGAAAGCAAGGCUCGCUCAAUGGGGCUUGAGUUUUCUGUAAACUUGCGUGUUCUGUGAGAGAGCAGGGACCUCAGUUUUAUACUUCAUACGAUGGAAUUCAAUCAGGAUCCCUCCCAUUAAGUGAUCCUUAUCAAAGAGUAGCCUUAUCACCGUGAAACACUUAUGCAUUAUAUCAGCUAGAAGAGUUCUAGUCUUACCGAGAAUGUAUCUGACUUGAAUCUCCAAAGAAAUACAAUUCCUGAUAAGUCUACCACAAGUGUCAAUCCUAAUCUCCUUAUCAUUCCAAAUGUCUUUAAUCAAAUCACAAAGUGUUUGCUCUCAUAUAGAACUUACAUUCUCCCACUAGAGCAAAUACUUUGUCAACUUGUAUAGUUUAUACUUAAUAUGGAAUGAAUCUGAAUUGGCCAUGAGAUUAGUCUUUGACAUUUUCUCGAUUUACCAGUCUCUGUCAUUAACAAGUAUUCAUGAGAACUAUAGGGCAACACACUCAACUUUCAAAGAGUACCGUCCCCAUAAUUACUUACAAUGAAACUAACCAACACAUGAGACUCCAACAAGAUAUAAAAACAAUGUAAGACAUGACUGGAUAUGUAUUUGUAAUAUGUCAAACAUUUGGUCCCCUUCAGGAUUGAAAGCAAUCCCAAUGCUUCUGAACGAAGCCCUUAGGUUGUUUUUUCCUUCAUGAUAAUUCAAGAUCAUUAAUCAUCAUGCAUAAAAACAUUCAUGCAUUAUCAUAACUAUAUGCUGUAUACUUUUUGGGAACUUUAACAACCUUACAACAUUUUUCUUUAUUAGCUAAGAAGCCUUUAUUAUUAAUACUCGAAUACAACUUCCAGAACAUGAACUGCAACUGAAGAAAAACUAACAUUUAAAAUGAACCUGAUAUGCAGCUCCCACUGAUUUCCUGCAUCAGUUUGCUCCCACUGGUUUCCUGCAUGAGUUUGCUGCAUCAAAAUCACCCAUUACCCCUAUGCUUUGCUGACAUGCUUCUUGAAAACCGCUAUGAUAACAGCCUUAUUCAAUGGAUGAACAAUCAUUGAAUUAGUCUCCAAUUACUCAAUCUUGACCAAACUAGCUACCACCUUUUCUCGAGAAAUGAGAUACUUCAUAUCCAAGUUCCUUGUUGCAUUUUACCUUUUAUUAUUCUAAGUGAAAAAUAUAGCUACUCUGUCGUCAAAUAAAUCUGUAUAGGUCUCCAAGAUUGAGUCUACCUCUUGUAGUCCUGUUAUGAAAUUCUUCAACCAAAUGGCUAGAUUCACAGUUUCACAAUAGGACAAGUAUUCUGCAAACAUAGUUUGAAGCAACCACAGUCUGUUAUUUUACACUCUUCCAAGAUACUGCUCCACAUGCCAUUAAGAUCACACAACCCCAUGUUGAUUUCAUAUCAUCUGGACAACCCGCAAAAUCUAAGUCAUUGUAACCUUCUAAAACGAUGUUUUAUGUCCUUAUGUAGACUAACAUAUGAUCUUUGGUCCUAUGUCAUUCUGUAGACUAACGUAUGAUCUUUUAGUUCUCUAAAGAUAUCUCUACACUCUUUGCUGCAUUCUAGUAAGCCUCUCCAGCACUGGAUUGGAACCUACCAAGCACCGAAAUGGUGAAGGCUAAAUCAGGCCUUGUGCACACUUGUGCAUACAUCAAACUCCCAACCCAGGAUGCAUAUUGCUUAUCUUCCAUCAUCUUCCUCUCCAAGUCUGUUUUGGGACACUACAGUUCGAUCAAUAUAUCACCCUUUGAUAUGGGCAUUUCUGUAGUCUCACAUGAAGACAUAUUAAAUCUUUUUUAUGUAUGCUCUUUGUGGAAAACCCAACAGCCCUCUUAUUCUCUCACUUUUGAUCUGAAUCCCUUGGACAUAAGUGUCAUCUCUCAGGUCUUUCAUCUCGAAGUGUCUUUGCAAGAAAACUUUAGUUUCAUCCAACAAACUAUGACUAUUUGUGGUGAGCAAUAUAGCAUCUACAUAAAGAACUAGAAUGAUAAAAUUGCUCCCACAGAAUCUCAAAUAAACACAAUUUAUCUGAUGGGUUCUCUAUGAAACCUUCUUUUACAACUCGAUGAAAUUUUAGGUACCAUUGUCUUGAUGUCUGCUGUAAUCCAAUUGUCUAUUUUUGGACUCGAGAUGACUUGUUUGAAAAUCCCAGGAUCACAAAACUCUGAUAAAUUAAAAUCUGUCUCUACCAAAUACACAAAAUAUGAUGAGAAUGUUGACUUUCUUACCCUAUCUGAUUUCCUCAAAACAGUGGAACAUUACCGACUGCCAAAACUGUUGACUCCAGUCGGUGGUUACUGCCAUUCACGGCUGCUUCAUCUUCAUCCACGUGUCCUUGCUGAUUUCCUGCAUGCGGUUCACCGUCUAACAACACCUCAAUUUCAGUGUCAUGCUUCAGUUCAUUGCCACUUGAAACUCUUUCCUCCACGUGCCUUGUAUGAUGACGAAUUUGCUGCUCACCAUGCAACAACACAUCAUUUUUGCCAUGCUGAAAAUAGCAAUCAUCAUAGCCCUCAUCUUCUUCCACUUGACUUGGAAGUUCAACCACUAUUGCUACAGUCGGUGUUGGCUCAGUAUUAAUCCCUAUUUGGCCAUUUCAGUAUUAAUCUCCAUUUGACCAUCUUCUUGCCACGUUUGUCAGGUGUCAAUUCCACGUACCCCGCAUGAGUGUUUGCAUGUUGUUGCAAUCGGUGUAGUCGGUGCUCACUGCUGCUGGCCACGUUUGUUUGCUGGUUGUCGGUGAUCGCAGCUGCCACUCACAGUUACUGACUCAUCAUGGCUUGCAUGAUCAUGAGUAUGUUUCUCAUUGAGCAACAGCACAUUAUCGGUGCUUUGGUGUAACAGACCAUCAUCAUUACACAUACUUAAUUUCUUAUAAUUGAUCUGUAAUUUCAACCAAGGCUGCUGCAAUCGGUGAAUGUUCAGCAUCAUUCCCCAUUUAAUCAUCUUCUUCAAAUAUAAGAUUGUCAUUGUCCAUCUCUAACUCCAUAAACAACUUGGUAGAUUAGUCUUACAAAUCGUACUCCUUACUAUGUCCAUUAGGGUUCUCCUUCUUUUCUUAGCCACUUCGUUUUGCUCGAGAUUUCUAGUGUGGUGUAUUGAGCUACAAUUCCAUUUUCUUGUAGAAAAAAAAAAAAGGGCAAAUGGACUAAGAUGUCUGCCAGUUUGAGUGUAUCUACCAUUGUAUUCACCUCUCCUAUCAGACCUAACCUCCUUAAAUUUUUUUUUUUUUUUUUUUUUUUUUUUUUCUUCCAAUUGGUUUUCGAUGUCAAUUUUGAAAUCUUAAAGUUUCAAGUGCAUUUGAUUAUUUUGAAUUAGAUAGAUGAAACAAAAUCAAGAAAAGGUAGUUUAUGAAAUAUUUAUGUCCCUCUAUAGUUUGUGUGGGAAAAAAGACCACAAACGUCCGUAUGGAUGAUUUCUAAAGUUUCUUUGCUUCUUGUUGAUCCUUUCUUUCUACUACUUGUCAUUUUUCCCUUAGCAUAAUCCACACAGAACUCAAAACCAUUAAAAAUUACGGGAGGCAAAAUAUCAUUAUUGACAAGUAACUCAUCCUUUGUUUUGACAUAUGACCUAGCCUCUUUUGCUAUAAGUUUGAUGAUUGUCGAGUCUUAGUAUGUUCAUUUGAAUGUUAAAAUAAAUUCGACUUUGUUGAGUUUUAUUUGAUGUUCUCCUUGUUAUGAAGUUCUGCAAUGAAUUCGUAACAUGAAUAGAAAAGCUAGAGUCAAGCCACCAUUUAGUGCUAGGUAUAAUAAUUAAAUUAGACUCAAAACAAGCAAAAAAGUUUUUACCUUUCUUCAUAUGGCAAGCCAAGCCUUAUACAAAAAUAAUGUUUGAGAAUCGAUGGCUUGUUAGGUUUGGUGUUUCUUUUAGGAGAGGGAACCCUUUUGGUAGAAUUCUUUCUAGUAUCGGUGGUUAAGGGUGUAUGUGCCUCGGUGGUACUUCGUACAUAGUUCAAAGACUUAAUCUUCUCAUUUUCAAACUUUUUCAUCCUUUCCUCCUCACUCACACAUACUGAAAUUAACUCAUUCACAUCCCACUUUUCACGCAAUGCAUUGUAGGACAAUUUGAGAUGUGUAUAACUAUCAGGCAGGGAACUCAAUAUCACAUGUACCAAGAAAGUUUCAGGGAUUAGUACCUCGAGAGCUUUGAGUUUUCCAGCGAUGUCCACCAUUUUUAAAAUGUACUCACACACACUCUCUAUGCCAUCAUGUCUCAUGUUUGUCAGUGAAUUCAUGAGAUUACCUGUUUCAAUUUUUGGUGACUCCUGGUACUUUUCUUCAAUGGACUUAAGGAAAUUGUUUGCAUUGGUAGCAUCCGUCUCAGUUUUUGGUGACUCUUGGUACUUCUGCUCAAUGGACUUGAGAAAUCCUUUGCAUUGGUAGCAUCUGUGAAGGCUCCUCGAACCACAUCAAUCAUGCUUCUUUUGAUAAUCAAUAAGGAAAUUCUGUUUGAUUUGUGCCACUUUUCAUAUUUAGACUUCUGACUUGAGGUGCUUCCAUCUGUUCGUGUAGGGGGCUCUUCAGUUCUAAGUGCUAAGUCCCAAUCCAUGACACCUAGCACGAUCUCAAGAUCUUGCUUCCAUUUCUUAUAGUUGACACCAGUGAGUGGUUCAACUGUAUUAAGGUGCAUGGAGCUAGGAUUCAUAACUGUCAAAGCACAUAGUUCAGUUAUUAAUCCUAGUUCUUUGAGACGAUGUCUUCUACAGGUAAGUGGUUAAGUUGAUAAUUGUGAAUAAGUUUUUCCGUUGCAUAAUUUACUUACAAUAUAUCUUCAAAAUUCAAAACAACUAAUUGAAAACAAUCAUAGGAAUCUGAAAGAAGUAUGAAAUAUGGACUGGUCUUCAUUAUCGAACUGGAAAAGCGAAAAACAAAAGAGGCGUUUGACGAACGGACUCUGAUGUGACUCUGAUAUGUGAUGAUGACGAAUCACCACCUAGAUUGUGCCUCACCAUUGAACCAAGCUGGAUGUCCCAUACUAGAUUAACCCAUGUUGUAAUUAAUGAAACAUAAUUGUAUGAUCCAGCCAAAUUAGAUCAACUUCAACUUUAUCCCUGCCUUGCAGAUUGAGCUUCAAGACACGAGUCGGAGUGCAGAUGAUGGCAGAAUGUUUGAAAGUGGAGAAAAAUUCGGAGAUUUUCUGUUGAGAAAUCCAUCACUUUAGUUUUGCUGAAUGUUACCUGAACAAGUAGAUGAGUGAUCAAGAGACAAAGAAAGGCGUGUAAGAGGAUCUUUGUCCAUUGGGUCGGAUAUGUGAUCUCUGUUACUGACUGCAGGACCCUGUGGCUGGAAGAGUACUGGGAGAUUCUCCAGACGAGUUUGAGGCUGAGCAUGAGGCUGCCACAAACGAGGCUGUCGCAAACGAGACUGAAUAUGACGGCCUGCAGGAAGAGUAUCAAGAGACAAGGAAGGGCAUAAAUGCGCACGGUCAAGGGGAUCAUGAUCAUGCACUACUACUGCUAGUUUUCUUCUGUCACAUGCGCCCAUUAAGUCGGCUAUGCUCUCUUCCAUCACUUCACCUGAUGCGAAUCCUGAUGUACUCCUUGACUUUUUAACUUCAUCUUCAUCUUCAUCUUCAUCUUCAUCUUCAUCUCCAUCUCCAUCUUCAUCUUCAUCUCCAUCUCCAUCUUCAUCUUCAUCUUCAUCUUCAUCUCCAUCUUCAUCUUCAUAUGUGCAUGGUUCUUCAACUUCGUCUUCAUCUUUAUCUGUACUUGGUUCUUCAUCUUCAUCUUCAUCUGUACAUGGUUCUUCAUCUUCAUCUUCAUCAGAUGCCCACACAACAGCAGAUGACUCCGCGUAGAACCGAGCUGGAUGUCGGUAAAAACCAUAAUCAACUUUGUCCAAAUCAUUCGUAUUUUCCUUCAUAGGUUUGUUCCACACUAGAUUAACCAUUGUUCUCUUCAAUGACACUGGAUGGUAAGUUGUUCUCUUCGGUGGCCCAUAAUAAUUAGAUAUUAUAACUUCAAUUUUAUCCCCACUUUCCAAUUCGAGCAUAUCGUUCGAUAAUUGACCUUGCCAAAGUAAGUACUUAUUCCAAAUUUGGUUGCCAAAGAAAACGUGCAACUCAGUACGCUUGGUAUUAUUUAUAACAGUAAUGCCAAAUUUAAAAAUUUGUGCAACUACAUAGUUGCAAAAGCAGCACACAGUCAACCCUUCAAAAGUACGGCCAUCGUUCGGGGGAAUAUCAAAACUGACUCUAUUACCAUCGUUAACAAACUCAAACCAAUCAGGAACAAAAUUCCUGUACAGAAAAAUGCCACCAAAUCCGCAAGAAGUCCAUCCCUAUAUAUACAAUGCAAGUGUCAAAUAUAUAUACAUGUACCUGUGCGUUUGUGUGUGCAUGCACACGAUAGGAACAGAGAGAGAGAGAGAGAGAGAGAGAGAGAGAGAGAGAGAGAGAGAGAGAGAGAGAGAGAGAGAGAGAGAGAGAGAGAGAGAGAGAUACCUGUAGGAUGUUCUUCCUAAAAUCAGUUGUGAGAUUGAUGCACCCUCGCAUAUUAAUCCAUGUCAUGGAGUUUAAUGACUUGUGCAAGCCUGGAACUUCAGUGAGUUUGUGUGAAUUCCUUACUUUCAGUUCUCUCAUAUUUGACAUUUCCGAAAAAUUGGGCAUUGUUUUCAAUGCAGGGCACUCAUUCGCAUACAGAAAUUUCAAACUUGUUGGUAAAUCAGAUAUUGUAUGAAGUUUCUUGCAAUUAUAUAACUCCAGAGCUUCAAGCUUUGAAAGACCACUGAGGCUGGGUAGGAUACGAAAAUAGUUCGAUCCAAGGUGCAAAGCUUGUAAAGAAAUUAGACUCCCAAGAUCCUUAAGGAUUCCAUCAUCAUCUAAACUGCAGGAUGAGAGAUAUAAAUGAGUGAGAUUCUUCAAUCUUACUAUGGAAGGUGGUACUCGUCUAAUGGCUGUGAAAUCCGCUACAAGUGUUCUCAGUGAUAUCAUCUCCCCUAUAUCCUCAUGCAGUUCUACGAAUUUUGAACAUCCACUAAGAAGAAGAGUCUCAACAGAUUUCGACUUGUAGAAAUCCCCUGGAAGAGAAAUAAGAUUGAGACACCUCUCAAGGUUCACCAAAGAAAGUCUUUUAAGAUGACCAACGGAGGGGUGAAUCUCGGACAACCUCUCACAACUUUGCAAUAUCAACUCUUCAAGAUUUGGGACUUGUGAAAAGUCUGGUGAUUUCUGUAAGGACCAGGAAUGGCUGAGAUUAAGGGUUUUCAAGUUAUGUAGCGACUGUUGCAGAAAAUCAAAAGAAAAUUGAAAUUAAUAUCCGAAAUGAAGAUGUUAUAAAAUAAAAAAAGAGAUGAAAUCCAAAAAACAAAUAGAAACAGAACAUCAUCAGGUGGAAUUCAGUGUACCUUGGAACCCUCCCAAACUUGUACCAGUUCGCUCCCCUGCAUGUCUAAAAUAACUAGUUUAUCUUGAUUGAAAAAGUCAUUUGGUAUGGACUUUAAAUGGCACCCUCCCCAGCACAACCAUAUUAAUUCUCUGGGAAAAUGUUUGUAUUCUCCUUUGAGCUCUGCGUCGCUGAAGUGAAGCAAUUUCAGUUUCUUCAUAUUGGCAAAUGCUUCUGUACUGAAACUAGGCAUGUAGCUCAACAAAUGAUCAGGGGAUUGUAGAAAAAGUCCUUCAACUUCUUCGGUUCCCUGUUAACAAAAGGUUAUAUUCAUGUGUAAGAAACGGAUUAUUUGCAUAUUAUUAUUCAUUAUGUUAAAUCACCUACGGUGAAUAUAUUUACACAUAAAUCUUGUUUAGUGUAUAAUAGACAUACAUGGGUUAUAUAUAUGUUUUCAAGUAGAAUGCAUUAAUGCAAAAUUUUAUUGGGAAUGUACUUACAGAUUUAUUUUCCAAGACAUCGACGACCUCUUGAUAGUUCCACAACCUACUCCAUUUUCCAAGGUGAUUAGGGGAUUUUCAGAAAUGAUUACCCUGGCCAUUUCUCGAAGCAAAUCAUGCAUAUUCAACACAUUGUCUUCAACCGUUACAAGGCAUCGUUCACGGAGGACACUGAUUUCUAUUGUCGCAAAAAAUCCACAUCCAUCUAAUAUUUUUGCGACAUAGUCCUUGUUCAUUCGAAUAAAGAAACAAGAUAUGUCAAGGAAUAUAGCCUUCUGUCUAUCAUCUAGACCAUCAAAGCUUAUUCUUAGUGGUUUUAUUAUUUUUCCAUCUGGAGUUCUUUCCAAUUUCUCCAAUUGACUUUCCCACUCUGCCAUGGUUCUUUCAUACAAAAAUGAACCUAAAACUUUAAGGGCUAGUGGCAAACCUCCACAAUAAGAAACAACCUUUUUUGAGAGUUCAAGAUAUCCUUUGUUUGGACAACUAUUUCCAAAGGCAUGCCAACUAAAGAGCUCCAGAGCUUCUCCUUUCUCGAAUUUCUGAGCCGGAUAUAUGUUGUGCACUUUCCCUUGCUUUAGUAAAUGUUCAUCUCUUGUUGUUAGGAUAAUUCUACUCCCUGGACCAAACCAAUUAUGAUUUCCAGCUAUUGCAUCCAGUUGUUCUUCUUUGUCUAUGUUGUCCAAGAUGACAAGUACCCUUUUAUGUCGAAAUUGUUGUAUCAUACCGAUACCUUCAUCAACAGAGCUUAUUUCAAGCUUCUUUUUCAAGAUGUCAGAAAUAAGUUUUUCUUGCAAAUAAACCAGACCAUGUUUACUUGUAGCAUCGCGAACGUCGGCAAGGAAACUUUUGAAUUGGAACAUAGGAUGAAUUUGGUUAUAAAUGGCUUUGGCAAUUGUUGUUUUACCCACUCCACCCAUCCCCCAAAUUCCAACCAUGCGAACAUCAUUUGAUCCACCACUUGAAAGAUAAGUGAUGAUAUCUUGAAUGCGAGAAUCGAUUCCAACUGGAUGAUUGGCCACAUGUAAUUCGUUUGUGCUGGUGAGCCAUUUACAAAUAUUCUCAUCAACAAUUUUUCUAAUGAACUCUGCUUCGCGCCUGAAAAUUGAAUUCGUAAGCAUUAGUGGACGCAAUGAAGGCUUUGUAGGAUACAUCAGUACAUAAACAAUUUUCUUUCUUUAUGUAUUUAAUAUGGAAUCAACUUACUCAUACAUUUAUGUAUUUAAUCUGUAGAGAAUUUUAUUUUUUUUCUUUCCUAAUAUGCCCCUAAUUUAAUGUUCCAGAUUUUAACCAAACAAUUAUUGCUUCUCUUUUUUAUUAAAAUAUAGCUUUUUAAACAUUUCUAAUUUGUUAUGGAUUUUUUUUUGUUUAAAUAAAUUAUGUUCUGAAGCUCUGGGUGGAGUUGUCUUCCAAUUUUAUUUUCUUUUAAAUUGUCCUUGCCGUUCUUUUUUCAAAUGCAUUAUUCUGUUCCUGGAAAUUUCUUCCCACUAAAAACAAUAUAGGAGGACAAAGUUAACCAAGAAUUGGUACAAGAAAAGAAAAUGACAAAUGGGAAUUCAAAGUGGAAAAUAAAAUGCUAAUAUAAGAUUCUUUUUUAAUUCUUUUACUUUGUUUAAUUGCAUUAUUUUUAUAACAAUUUCCACAAUUUUUUUACAUGAAUUUCACAAAAUCGGUAUUUCAAUGAAUCUUUCUCUUGUAUCAUAUAAAAGCCGGAGGUUUAUAAGUUAUAAUGUUUUUUUUGUCUGUUGGAUAUAAAUUAUAAUGCUGGAAUAUCUAUAAAUAGUAGGCAGUGACCCCCUAUAUUGAUUUUGUGGAGAUUAAAAAAUGGGAGUUUUAACGAAAAGCCCACGGUACUGUUCACUUUAACGAAAAACCACAUUUUUACACUAAAAGUCAAACCUGGUACUAUUCAUUUUACCCUUUAUUUUGUCCUUAUCAUUAAAACUCAAAGUUUUCAAGCCCUUUUCAUUAGUUUUCUUUUAAAAAAUCUCAGAAGAUGGCAAAGCAAAAAGAAAAAAAAAUGUCAAAACUAAUAAGAAAUGCUUAAAAAUAAAUUUUAAUAAAAAAAAUAUAAGUAAUAAUUGAUGGGUUAAAAUCUGAAACAUUAAUUAGGGGCGCAUUGGGAAGAGAAGAAUAAAAUUCUAUACACAUUAAAUACACAUUAGUGUAAGUUGAUUCCACAUGGCAUGAAAUGAGUGGGAAAUGCAAGUGAGAAAAGACAAAUAAAGAAGGUAGCUAGCAGUCUUUUUAGUUUGAUAUGAGAGAUUAAGGUGUAUUAAUUAAGCAAGUUAAUAAGAGUAAUACAACUCGAAGAUGUCUAAAUUUCAGAUUUAUUUCUUGAUUUUAUAAAUUCGUAUAUUUUUUGUCAUCUGUGUGUGAUACUCCCUCGUCUAACAAUUGUCCACUAAAAUGUUUGAAAUCUUGAAAGGAAUGUGAAUGAUUACCCAUUGUCAGUGAUUUGAAGAUGGUGGCCAGACAAAUUUGCAGCUUCUGUGAGAGCCUUUCUCCACUGCUUUACCCUUUCUCGUUUAGCUUCACAUUUCUUGCCAUCUUUUUCUUCACCGAUGCCCUCUUCGUGCUUCUGAAAUGCUUCGGCUAAAUCUCCGUCCUGCUUCCUGACAUGUGAAGGAUCAACAUGAUAGAAUAUUGGCAAAACAUGUCGCCCCAGUUUGGAUCUGCACUCCAUGAUCUUCACCAGCUCGUCAAGACACCAACUUGAAUCCGCAUAUCUCUUUGAGAAGACAAUGAUGGAGAUCCUCGACCAUUCAAUUGUCCGGAACAGUUCCUCUUUUAUUUCUUCCCCUCUUUUUAGAUCGUCCUCAUCGAUAUAAGCCUGGUAUCCCCUGUCUUUUAAUGCCGCGUGGAGAUGGCCCGUGAAGCCCUUGCGCGUGUCUUCGCCUCUGAAGCUCAAGAACACGUCGUAAUUCCAAAGUUUUGACUUGGAGGAGGAAGAAGAAGACGCUUCGUGGGCUGUCAUGGCACCGUUAUGGCACUUCAGUAGUUCAGGUCACAAAAAGCUGGCCAGAGUAAACUCGCCGGAAACUGGGUUUUGGCCCUUUUUCUACACAUUUUCAAUCGUCAUAACUUCCUUAUUUCUCAACCAAAUUGAGUAAUUCAAGAAUGAAAAUCUUACCUCGAAACGAGACAAAAGGACUUGUACCCUUGGUUUGGCCGGAAAAUGGCCGGAAAGUUGUGGACUAUCUGAGCUUCGAUCCCGACGAUCGGGAAGGAAGUUCAAAGUGAGGCUGGGUGCUCUGAGCUCGUGAGGACAAGACGAAGCUCGUGGUGUCCUUGGUUUGGGCGGCCAGGAAGGCUGUGCACCGUUAGCACACAGUGUUCUGCACAGCGAGAGCGACAGAGAGAGAGUGCGUGAGGUAGGAGAGAGAGGUCUGCGUGGAAAGUGAGAAAGGGAAGGAGGAGGAACGUGGCCUGAGCAAGUAAAUGAAUGAUCAGGAGACAAAGAAAUUGUUGGAUGCCACAAUUGUCUUUGAGAGCGUCGGAACUCUUUGUCGGUUUAAAAAGGGGAAGAGAGGAUAAAAGGACAAAGACUAUAUUAUAACAAUGACUUCUUGGUCAUGAUUAGCUAUUCACCUAGUCAACAAUGAAUAUGUAUAAUUAUAAAACAUGAUAUGAUUAUAUAUGCAAGUAACGACCCCAAAGCUUAUUGGUGCUAAAUAACUAAUGUAAUAAAAUUAUCUUAUUACACAUUGGAUUCCUUAACAAGUGGACUUUUUUUUUUCAGUUUAGAAGUCUAGUAGUGAUUAUUUCUUAAGAUUUUUUUUUGGAAACGUUAUUAGUACUUUAAAAUUUUCAUUAUACACUCCUUAUAAUUGUAUUUUUUUUCCUAAUAUAGAAAGUUUGGAGUGUAGAAUGAAAUUUUUGAAGUGCUAAUACCAAUUUCCUUUUAUUUUUCACCAAUUUUAAUAUUUAAUCUAUAUUCCACUCAUCAUUCGUUAAUAAUUUGUGGAUUGGCAAGUUUGCUGUAGGAUGGAUUGAGGGGAGGCUUCUUUCAGAUAGUCUGUAUGAAAUAUUGGAGAGAUAAAUUGUGGAAUAAAAAAUAAUUUCAAAAUUUCUGGAACUAACACGUGGUUUUUAUUCAUAAUUGGCUAGAAUGACCUUAUUAAUUUAGCUAGGUCCACCUGUUCCACGUGCAGUUCAAUUACCACUAAUGUAGUAUUAAGUUUAAUUUUCUCCCUUAGUCGUGGGGAAGUGGUCGAGAGGAGAUCGAAGUUUUUACCCUUAGAUUUGUUCACUGAUUAUUUCUAGCGGUGCAUACACAGUUGUAGAUGGGGCAGGUGUAGGGUGGCACGAUAAAACUUGAAUCAUUUGAAUCGAGGAAAAACCAUAUUUCUGUUAAGUUUUGUUUGUAUCAACUAUCACACAAAAAACACAUUUAGUUAACUUUUUUUUUUAAUAAAUGUUCUACAUUUAUUUACUUUGCAAUUGUUAGUGUUUGUAGGUUUUAGAAUUGAACUAGCGAGGGUGUACGUGCGACGCUACGGGUUGUAAAAUUGUAUAAAUAUGUAGAAAGUUCUAAAUAUGUGUACAAUCAUUAUAUUAAUGCUUAUGCGUUUGAAAAUUGAGAAAGGUCGCCUAGAACUGCUAAGGUGCCCACCUAAAUCGUCUAGACACCCGCCAAGACCCGCCUAGAUUGCGACUCACUUAGACAGAAAAUAGAUAACUUUCAUUUUUGAUUUUAUUUUUUUAAUAAAUUGUAAGAAACUUGUUAAAUAUUUAAAUAAGCACACAUUAUAUGCUUGUUCCUCAUUCAUUAUGUUCAGAUACUUCAUAAUAUAUAUGUCAUUUGAUUUUGUAGUUUAUGAUAAAAUUAUAUAUAUUUUAAAGUAUAAACAAACACUUACUUACACGAAAUAUAACGGAUUUAGUUAAAUCCGCCUAUGCACCCGCCUAGACUCUGCCUAGCUAACUAGGCGCUAGGGCUCAGUCCGCCGUCUGACUAGCGGCUAAAAUCUUUUAAAACCUUGUGUACGAUAGACAAUACUAUUUACAUACAUGUUUAAAUCUAUUUACAAUCCUAUUUACAAUAAAAUAAAAUAAAGCAAUCUUUAUAAAACAAAUUGGUUAACCAAUCAACUUUCGAAAAGUUUGUCUCAUUACAAAAGCAUGUGAUCUAAAAGAUCCUUCAGUCAACAAAAACAAAAAGUUUAUAAUAUAAUAACGUUUGCAUAUGGACACGAGAAAUAACAUACAGCCGGGCGGGAAGGUGCAAGGAAAGGAGAGAGGAUCCGGAGAUUUUCAAAUUACAUACGUGCAGUCAGAAAUCAUUGUAAUUUUUUAAUUUAAAACUAAAUAUAAACAGUACUUGAUGAAAACUAACCGUACGAUACAUGAUGAAUGGAUGAGAUUGGAGAAUCUUCGGAAUCAUCAUAAAGAGGAUCUGGCAAGGAUCCUCUAGGCAAGGAAAGUGAUUACUAUCAAUUAUAGAUUAUUUUAGGUUGAAAUUUGGAAGCAUUUGAGAAGUAGCUUGACAACAACCACAUAAUAAACAAAAGUGAUUAAAUAAUAAACCCAAAUGUAAAAGGAUAAUUAACAAUUAUUCUAUAAAAUAGACCAAUUCUAACUAAUAUAGAUACAUUUUGUAAUAAAACUCUACACCUGAGCAGUUGGUAAUUAAUAGUCUGAUUUGUUUUAUCCGUGGGCUGACUUGGAGGGUAGAAACAAUUAAUAGCCUGAUUUGUUUUUAAAUUUUGAAUUUAUGUAUUUACAAAGGUGUGAAUUUAUGGUGGCCAUGAACACUUUCAUGGAAGUAAUUCCAUUUUUUGUACUAAUUUCCAGAAUUUUUUUAGGGGAAUUAUUUGUUUGUCUUAGCUAACAGAGUAAAUCUGGGUUCUGUACACAACAACAUAUCGAAAGAAAAAAAGUAUAUAUAACGAUGAUUUGUGUGCUGUUGUUUAAUUGUGGAUUACAUCAUAUUGAUAAAUGUUAUAUAGUUUAUGAAUAAAUGUGAUUCGUUACGAAUGUUUAUGAAAAGCGAAGACAUAAACACUAAUUGAAAUAGUAAACCAAGUUAUCAUUGUAAAUGGUACUAAAUGACUGACUAUAUCGUCCGAUUGUUGUUUACGUGCUUUAAUUUUUCAUCAUCGGAAACCGUUUUUCGGAGUUUCUUUUUCAAAAACAUGCUCUUUUAGUGAAUUGAAGAAUAUAAACGUUUUGAAUCGUUAACAUCAUGUUCCAACUUUCAAGGUUAGUGCAAAUAUUGCUCAAUGUUCAAUAAAGUCAAUCAUUGAAAAACAAAUUUUCAAAAUUUAAACCUAUUAAAUAAUAAUAAAUAAAAUAAGACAGAUAACACUCGUAAAACAAAUUCUCUCGAUGAAAGAACUCAAGACAAACCUAGUCAGCAGGCCAAAAGAAACAGUUACUCGUAUGCUAGUAACAUGUCAAGGCAAGUCAAGUGUAUAUAGAUAGAUAGAUAGAUAGAUAUAUAUAUAUAUAUCUGGUCAAGUUGGUGGAGGAAGUUUGUAACUGGAUCGAGAAUCUGCAAAACUACAGCAAGCUGCCGGAGUGAGGCUUCUCGCGGACAGUCUCUAUGCAAUCUUAGAAUUUUGGAAGUUUGCUACCGUUACCUACGACCAUCCUGCAGUUGCUCUUUGUCAUAUUUUAAGGGAACAGCGUCUAAGUUAUUCCGGUGCUGCAUUAGCCUGACAAAACGUCGACGGGCAAAAUAGAGGGGGCUUCGUGGGUUGUCAUGGCGGUAUCUACUGUUAUGGCACUGAGUGGUUCAGAAGACAAUUGAAAAAAUGGCGGUGGUUGUGUGACCUAAACACAAGUUUUUUACCACAGUGAUGGAAAUAUGUUAUGUCAUUACAUGACGGCGUGUGUUUGAAUUUGAUGGUUAAUCUACCAUCUAACAUACUAACGUUAUCACUCGACUAAAAAAAAACACUUGUCAAACUCCUUCAAUCAACAAAAGCGAAAGUUUAUAAUAUAAUAAUGUUGGCAUAUGAACUUGAGAAACGACAUAGUACCUGAUGAGAAGGUGCAAGAAAAGAUAGAAGAAAAAAAAACACAUGUCAAACUCCUUCAACCAACAAAAGCUAAAGUUUAUAAUAUAAUAAUAUUGACAUAUGAACUUGAGAAACGACAUAGGGCCUGAUGAGAAGAUGGAAGAAAAUAUAGAAGAAGAGAGGAAAGAAAGGAACGCGAAAGGAUAGACUAUUAAAAUGAUGCUACAACCCGUGAAGAAGAAUUUAAAAUGACGCGGGAGUGGAAGCAUUUGAGACAAAAGUUUUCCAUACUCCACAGAGCCAAAAGUGGUCGCGUAACCUACCGACACUUAAUAAGGCGGUGGAAAAGCAGGAGCUGCAUUUUAAAGAAAAAAUUCAAGGACGUUUCCAUUUGGAAACCACGAUGCCACUCGUGGCCGCACGAUCUGAUCACUGGACGGCUAAGAUUGAAGAUUCGCAAAAAAUUCGUUUCUGAAUACGACAAGAUAAUCGGCAACUUCUUGUGGUGGGUAUAUAAUAUAUGUGGGAAUUCUGAAAGAUGCUUUAUUCACGUGGUUUUCCACUUAUUCGAUUAAGCCUCAUAUUGGUUCCACAAUUAAUAACAAUUAAAGGUAACAUUUUCUCUCUCUUCCUCAACCUCUCUAUUCCUCGUGAUGAACGCAAAGUCUGUAAAAAUUUCAAACCAUUUCUCACUUUCAAAUUUGGGAGAGAGAAAGGGACAUGCACUCAAAUUGUAAGUUCGCCCGAUAAAUUUUUCCGUUUCAGAAUCCAAAUCGUGGGUUUUUUCCCCUUCAGGUAUUCAAAUUUUGGCUUUGGUCGAGAAUUUUCAAGGGAUUUUUGUAACUUGGGAGCCAUUUUUUAAAGGGAACUUUCAUGAAAAGGACAUAAACUAAGUUUAUUUUAAUAAAAAAUCAUGUUAUAACUUUAUUUAAUUAAAAAGACUUAAAUUUUAAUGAAAAAUCAUUAAAUUUUAAUAAAAAGGACAAAAGAACUUUAAUUUUAAUGAAAAUGACAUAAUUAUAAUAUUAAAAAAAAUUAUAAAAAAAAAUUCUGACGCGCGGACCCAUGCAAAUCCUCACACAAACUGUUUAUGAAACUUUCUUCACUAUUUAUGAAAUUUAAGACACUGUUUAUGAAACUUUCUACACUGUUUAUGAAAUUUAACGACACUGUUUAUAAAAAUAUACACAUAUAUUCAUCUGCCUGCCAUAUAAGAAAAAACAGAGGCAAUUUGCUGAUAGUUGUUUAGGAGUAGUCCCACCACCAAUCCAAAAUUUCAAAUUUUCACCAUUAAUAAUAUCAAAUCUGCCACUAGAAGAUGAAGAAGACGGAGGAGAAAGAAAGGGAACUUAUGGUGCAGCAGCCAUGCCGGAUACAAACGCCCAGCGGAAGGAGCAAAAUUGCAAUCACAAUCUCACAACAGAUCUCACAGCGCCUCGGCAUCUUUGUUUCUCAGAUUUUUUUUUUCUAGAGAGAGAGUUGAGCUGUUGAAAUAGAAUGAGAGAGAUGAGGUUUGGUGGACGUGAAGUUGUCUGAUGGGAGUUUUGGGGGAUUUUGGUUGGGGGGUGAGGGACGCACGCUCAACGAGAUUUGGAUUUUUUUUAUGUUUUUUUAUUUUUUUAUUUUUUUAUCCUUAUCAUUAAAUAAAGUUAGUGUAUGAUUUUUCAUUAAAAUGUAAAGAUUUGAAGCCCUUUUCAUUAGUUUUCCUUUUUUUAAAUUUCAUAGUCGGAGGGCGGACUGAAAUGUAGGGGGUGAAGUUGGAGGCAAAAGUACUUUGGUGUUCUUGGAUUCAUCAAGAUGGAGGAAGAGGAAGGGGAAAGAGGAAGGGUGAGAGAGAGAGAGAGAGAAAAUUAAAUUGCCUUUAAUGUUAUUUUUUCAGUUAAAUUAACAAUGGGAAAAUGAUACUCGCGGUCGUUGGGGAGUAGUAUUCUUUUUCUUUCUAUUCUCGUCCUUUUCUAUUCUCUCAUUUCGCACAUUAUUUUUUGUUUUAUUGUCUCUUUAAAAAAAUAUAUAUAAAAUGUUGACAUAGCUGAACUGUGACGGUUCAAAUAGUAGGGGAAAGAAGGGAAAAGAGAUUAGGAGGGGAGAGAAUCAUUCUCCCGUCGCAGGAUCCUUUUCCUAGAGAUUCUAGGGAUCCCGUAAUCAUGUUCGUACAUCGUACGAUCAGUUUUCGUUAGAUACUAUUUAUAUUUGAAUUUUAAAUUUUAAAUGAUUUGUGACCACAUGAUGUACAAUGAACAAACAUGAUUACGAAAUUCCUAGGAUCUCUAAAGAAAUGAUUCGGCAAUGAUCCUUUUCCUUAACAAUGAGAAUGAGGCACAACUCACCAUUAAUUAUGAAGGCUCAGUUACACAUGGAGUUGAAUAGGGUUGAGUCUGGCGGAAGUGAGUCCUGCUAAGCAUUUGUCUUUCAAGAAUACGAGGGCAUAAACAAUUAAGAUCUACCUCCUCCUAUUUCAUCUGCAAUGUCAACCGGCUAAAUUGAUCAGCGAAUCGUUCAAUAUCUCUUUCUACGAAAGAUAAUCGCCUUCGCGUCCAUGAGAUUUGGUAGUACUUAGGUAAAUGUUAUCAAGGUGUGUAAGGGCUGAUUUAGAAUUGUUGUGCUUUGAAAAAAAAACUGCUUCUGCUGUGUUGCGAGAAUAAAUCGCUGUGAAAUAAAGCAGUUGAGUAUUUGGUAAACUUUUUUGUAAAAGUGCUUUUAGCAAAAAAAAAAAAAAGUGUUAAAGUGUUUGGUAAAUUUUUAUGUAAAACCGUUGUAACUGUGUAAAAUGACUAAAAAAAGAUAUGAUGUUGAAUAUUAUAUAAUAAUUUUUUUAUCUUUUCUUUUAAGAAAGUGUUAUUAACAUUUCAAAAAUCUUAUUCUACAUUUCUCACAAAUAUUUUUUUUUUCCAAAUAUAUAAAGUUUGGAAUGUAGAAUGAGAUUUUUAGAGUGCCAAUAAUAUUUCCCUUCUUUUAUUAUGACAUUUAUAUACGAAGAGUGUACUUUUACCCUUUUUUUUAUUAAGAUAUUUAUAAAAAAUUUUUAUCUUAUUCUUUUCUCCAAAAGUGUUUCUUCUUUAUGUUGUCCCUAUUGCUCACCAGAACUCUUCUCUUCUUCCUCCACUCCUUCUCCACCCUCAUCCGCCUUCAAAUCCACCUUCUGCAACUCACCAGCUACAUCCUCCUCCGCCUUCAAAUCCUUACCAACUUCAUCCUCCUUCUUCAAAUCCACAUUCUGCCACUCACCAGCUCCAUCCUCCUCUACCUUCUAUAUUGAAUCUAGCUUUUGCACCUCAUCGGGCUCUCCAUCGUCCUCCCCUUCUCUUUCAAAUCCAGUUUAUGAAGCUUGUCGAGGACCACAUGAUCAAGAUCAGACGGUGCAGGAUUGAAAUUGGGAGAAGAAGGCAAAAACCCUAGGUUGGAAUGAGCGUGGUUGGUGCUGGGCGUUUCGGGAUCUGGGGGAACAAGAGAGAUAGCUUCAGAGAUUGCUAUUCUCCCUCUUGCGAAAUCGGUUUGCGUAGAAGCUGGGCAAGGAAAAAAAGUCGAUUUUUCAAAGCUGGGUUUUGCAGCUUUGUGUUUUUGGCUUUUUUUUCAUCCAAACUUUGAAAAAGAAAAAGCUGAAGUUAAAUGUUUACCAAACACAAAAAAACUCCCAACUUUUUUUUUAUACCCAUUUUUUUCAAAAGCAUCUCAGUACCAAACCAGGCUAAAACAACAUGCUUGGUAUAAUUUAUAACAAUAAUCACAAGAAGACUUUCAGGUUGUUUACUUGACGAAUGAAUGCAUCAGACAACCAACCUUUUAAAAUUAUGACCAUUACUUUUAGACAUAACAAAGUCGGCUACAUUUUCCUCAUAAGCAAACUCAAACAACUCAGGAAUACCAUAAAUCCAAUUGAGAUCAAUGCCACCAUAUCCACAAGAAGUCCAUCCUUCUACAUGUUGAAGAGUGUAAGGAUCUCACAUAAAAUUUGACAAAAUUAGAGAUAACUUAUAUUGUGCGGUUUCCGCUUCUAAUUAUAUCAAAGUAUUUUGUGAUAAAAUUUUCACAUAUGAAGUGUUGUGCAUGUGAUAAAAUUUAAAUUGAUAGAAAUUAUUAAUGUGGUUAAUGGUGAGUCCUUAUAAAGCAUGUGAUAAAAUUUUCAGUUUUCAAAAUUGUUUGUAAAACGUUCUUAGAUGAGCCCUUAACGUAUGUUAGCCACCAUUAGUUAGUAAACGUUACCAUACCAACAAGCCACCAAAGUCUAUGUGCUAUAUUAUAAAUAAAACUGGUUUCUAUGAAAAAACACUUUACAAAACGGAUAAGCACUUCACAAACCACUUUUGUUUUCUAGAAGCCAUUUUUGUUCAUAAGCACUUUACUAGGAGUACGUCAAAAUUUUUGGAUUUUUUUUUCACAAAUGAUCAUUGAGAUUGAUCAAACUUAUCAUUUUGAUACCUCACUUUUAAAAUCAAUCAAUGUCAUCCCUGACAUUCACUACCGCACAUCAAUUUGGUCAUUCGGUUAAGAUUUCGUUAACUAUUAUGUUAGUUUGUAUGUGGUGUUGGAAAAAUAAGGUCUAAUUGCUAUAUUAAAUCACAUAGAAAAUCAAGAAAUAAUUCAUGCAAUUAUAUAUCAAAGUAAUGCAUGCACAUGAGUAACUAAUGUUAAAUGAAAAUGACAUAAUGGACUAGAAAAACUUGGAAAUACGGUCUAGAUAAGUGUUUGACACUUUAUCCUUAAGACAAGUUUACGUCCCACUACGGUGCUAAUGGUUGAUUAGCGAUUUUCUCCCAAGAUACAAAGACCAUGUCCUUGUAAUAGUAGCACUACAAAUCACAAGGGUCCAUGAACCACGAUAGUGUUGAAAACCUUCAUAUGAACUCACUGGGACUCUCUAAUAUUUAGUGCACUUUAUGUAUGAUUAUAUAAAAUAAUGAAAAGUUAUUUAUGUUUAUAGGGGACUUUCCUAAUUAUAGAAUUUGAGAUACCUCUUUGGAAAACAUGUAAUGAUUCAUGAAGAGUCAGAAUCUACAACUCUUUAUUAGGAUAGACACAUAUUUCUACCAAAAGGCAUCACUUUCUAAUUUCCAUUCAAUUAAUUAAUGUAACAUAAUAAAAAUAAUAUUGAAUUUUCCAACAUGUGGGACCCACAAAUCCAACGAAAUGAUAACACGUGGAUUACUCAAAAUAAGGGAUUUUAUCGCAAAUGGUCAUUGACAUUGAUCCAACUCCUUAUUUUGGUUCCUGAGUUUCAAAAAUCAAUAAAUUUGAUCUCUAACUUUCACUACCGCACGUCAAUUAAUUUCAUCAUUCCGUUCAAGUUUUAUCAAUAUUUUUUGUCCCAGUAAUCCAAUCAUAUGGCACCAUGUAGAUUCAAUUUUUUUUAAAGAUUUAAAACCAAAAGUAAAAUAAGAAACAAAAAACAAAAACUAAAAGAAAAAAGUCAUCGUCGUCUUCAUCAGGGUAUGCUAAAAAAGAAAAAGCACAAUGACACCAUUAAAGUACUUAGUCUCCUGAAUUCACUCAUUAUCCUUUCUAGUUGAUCAUAAUCCUAUCAAAUUUGAAUUCAAUUUUAGAUUGAAUUUUUUUCCAAUUGGGGUCGUGAGAUGUGAGAAAAAUGUCAGUGCGGAAUAUUCGUCUGUUGGCUCACUCUUAAGAAAAUAGUAUCUUAUAGUUCAUUAACGUGGAGCCAUAUGAUUGAAUUAGUGAGACCACAUCAACAUACAAACGAAAAAUAUUGAUGAAAUUUUGACGAAAGAACUACAUUGAUGUGCAGUGGUGAAAUUCAAGAACCAAAUUUAUCAGUUUUUGAAACUCAGAGACCAGAAUGAGGAGUUGGAUCAAUAUCAGAGACCAUUUGCGAUAAAAACCCUUAUUUUGUGUAAUCCACAUGUCACUAUUUCAUUGGAUUUGUGGGUCUCACGUACAAACUAACAGAAUAGUAAAUGAAAUCUUAACGGAAUGACUAAAUUGAUGUGGGUAGUGAAUGUCAUGAUUGACAUUAACUGAUUUUUGAAAAUGAGAAACCAAAAUGAUGAGUUGAAUCAAACUUAGACACCAUUUAUUAUAAAAACUCUAAAACACCUCCAAGUCUGUAACCCCACCUUUCAAUUCAACCUUUGCGCCACCGAUUCACCUUCAUCAACCUCCGUAAUGGCAUCCAUCGCUUGCUAGGGCUCUCGAGAGCACAUUGCACCACUACCUCACCAACCUAAUCAAAUCCAUAGUUAUGGCUAUUCGAAUCCAACCAGAAGUCCAAUCUCGACUCCUCCGUCCCCGUCCGCAAUUACCAGACCCAGUUCUCCCGCUCAAAGUCUUCGUCGGUCGCCGUUAGGCCCUUGUCGUCUUUGUUCAUGGCCCUUGCCGAGGAGAUUCUAGGCGAGAGCUGCGAAAGCCCGAUCGUGCUGGGGUUGGAUGGGCGUACAUGAGAGAAAUGAGGGAGGGUUGGGUGGAAGCGGGGGUGAGCCGGUGAGGUUAGAGAGUAGAGCGGGGGUCAGGUUAGAGGGAACGGCCCAGAUUGUGUAAUUAACCCUUUUCUUAAUUUUUUUAAUUUUUUAAUUUUUAAUUUUUUAUAUUUUAGGAAGAAUAACAGAUGAAUAAAAGAAUAAAGAAAACUAAUGAAAAGAACUUGAAAAAUUUGAGUUUUAACGAUAAGGACAAAAUAAAGGGUAAAGUGAAUAGUAACAUGAUUGACUUUUUAGUAUACAAAUAUGAUUUUUCGUUAAAAUGAACAAUAUCGAGAGUUUUUCGUUAAAGUUCUCUAAAAAAUAUUACAGCUUGGUGCUUUUUUUUGUAUUAUUAAGUUUAGUUUUAUGUCAUUUAGUUGUGGGGAAAGGAAAAGGAUACUCGCCGAAUCGUUUUUUAGGGAUCCUAGAGAUCUCGCAAUCGUAUCCGUUCAUCGUAUAUUGUGUGUGUUCAGUUUUCAUUAGGUAUUAUUAAUAUUUGAAUUUUAAAUGAUUUCUGACCAUACGAUAUACGAUGAACGAACAAUAUUACGGGAUUCCUAGAAGAAGGAUCCAUCGAGGAUCCUUUUCCGUGGGGAAGGGGUGGAUAUAUAGCUAUAUACGGGGCAGGUGUAAGGUGGCAAAAUAAAACUUGAAUCAUUUGAAUGAUGGGAAAGCCAAAUUUAUGCUAAGUUUUGUCUGUAUCAACGAUCACACAGUAAACACGUUUAGUUAACUUAUUUAUUUAUUUUAUUAUAAAUGUCUUACAUUUUUUUACUUUGUAAUUGUGAGUGUUUGUAGGUUUUAGAUUAAACUAGACAGGGUACCUGCGCUAUAUGGCGAGUUGUAAAAUUACAAACAUGUAGAAAAUUUUAACUAUAUGUACAAUAGACAAUACUAUUUAAGUACAUGUGAAAAUUUAUUUACGACUCACAAUAAAAGGCCAAAAUAAGUGUCUAGGGGUAAUGAACUGCUUAUUGUAAAAAGUAUUUUAGCAACCUUCGUACAACAAAUUAGUUAACCGAUCAACUUUUCAAAAAAUAGUCUCGGUACAAAAGCAUGGCCUAAUAUGUAAGGAAAUCUUGUAAUCCAUAUUUCAAUUGAUAUCUUUUAAAUGUCAAGGUACCAUUGUGUGUUCAAAUGUUUAGUAAUCAAUCUGCUAAAAUAAAAUAAACCUCCAGAGUUUAUAGUAGUGACUAAACAUUUUAUUUUGUCUGCUUGCGUCGCUUUUAAUUCGGAUCGAAGGUGUGAGAGAGUUGGUAGGAUAAGGGUGAACAAAAUUGACUAUUAUUUAAAGUUGAAUUUCUUCACUGCCGGCCCGGAAGGUGAAGUGAAAGAAAGAGAAAAAAAAUAGGAAAGAAAUGAACACAAAAUAACAAAGACUAUCCAAAAGGUUAUAACAAUGACUUUUUGGGUUAAUUAAAACUAUUUAACUAUUAAUAAUGUAUUAUUUUAGGUUGAAAUUCGGAAACAUUUGAGAGGUAGCAUGACAACAACCACCUAAUAAAUAAAAGUGGUUAGAGUAUAGACCCAAAGGUGAAAGGGUAACUAAAAACAAUUAUUUCAAGAUGGACAGUGAUGAAUCGAUAUUAUUUUACAUUUUUAUACUAAUCUUAGUUAUAAUUUAUUACUUAUUUUUGGAGGAUUUUGAUACUUUGUUUUAUAUUUCAAUUAGAACAUGUGAAUCUACUUUGGGCAAAAAGCGAUGAAAUAAUUUUUUUUGAAGUUAUUCCAAUUGGAGUGGAUUCGUGAGUAUUUGAAGAUGAUUUUGUAAGGUGGGGUGUUGGUUGAGUGUAAUGAAUUAAUUGUCCUAGAUUUUGUGAUAAAUUAAUUGGAAUGGAUCCAUGAGUCUUUGCCCAUGCCAAGAGAGUUAGGUGUCAGGCUAAAUGUGGCCUGAGCAAGUAGAUGAAUAAUCGGGAGACAAAGAAAUUGUUGGAUGCCACAAUUCUCCAUUAGAGUGUUGGAACUCUUUGUCAGUUUACAAAUCUUUUGGAGGCCUUGAGUAGGCAUUAGGCUCUUUUAAAUGAGUUAGUAGUGUCAGACGUGUAAGUGUUAGCUCAAACCAACAUAAAGAUUGUAAAAUUGUAAACAUACGCCACAAGUAAAUUGAGCUUCUUAAUUAAAGGAUUGUGCCAUAAAAAGGUUAAAUCUAUGUUAAGUUCUUUUACGUGUCUUGUUGUUAAGGACUUAUAUAUGUAUGUAUGUAUGUAUGUAUUUUGUUAAUCACAAAUUGAUCGAAUCAUGGUAGUGGUUGUGUUGCAGCAAGUCAAGCUCCUUUGGUCAACAAAAAUAAAAGUUUAUAAUAUAAUAAUUUUGGCGUAUGAACUUGAGAAACAAUAUACUGCCGGCUGAGAAGGUGUAGAGAGAGAGAGAGAGAGAGAGAGAGAGAGAGAGAGAUGAAGGAAAUGAACAUGAAAGGACAAAUACUAUCCAACAUAUUAUAACAAUGACUUCUUGGCUAUGAUUACAGCUAUUCAACUAAUGCAUUAAGAAUAAAAUAUGAAAUGAUCAUAUAUGCAAGUAGUUAUUAAUUAGUUGUGAUUAAUAUCUUAGGAGUUUUUUUUCUUCAAUUGUAAUCUAUAUUCUUGUAACACUCAUCAUUUGUUAAUAAUUUGUGCUUCGACAAAUUUGUUGCAGGAUCGAUCAAAGGGAGAGGCUUCUUUCAGGUAGUAUGUACGCAAUAUUGGAGAGAGAGAUAAUGUUCAGAGAAACUGAUUUCAGAUGAAGCUAAGAAAGUAGUGAAUGACAUAGUAGUUUUAAAUGGAGGAGUCAUACAUUUGCAGUAGUUUGUUCACUUGACGAGUAAAUACAGCAGACAACUAACACUUUAAAAUUACGACCACCACUUUUAGACAUAAUAAAGUCGACUACAUUUCUCUCCUAAGUAAACUCAAACCACUCGGCAAUAUUAUAAAUCCCAUUGAAAUUGAAUGCCACCAUAUUCGCAAAAAGUCCAUCCCUAUACAUGUUGAAGAGUACAAGAAUUUCACAUCAAAUUUAUCAAAAUUAAAGAUGACUUAUGUUGUGCAUUUACCACGCUUCUGAUUAUAUCAAGGUGUUUUGUGAUAACUUUCACAUAUGAUGUUUUGUGCAUGUGGUAAAAUUCAAGUUGAAAGAAAGUAUCAAUGUGAUUAAUAGUGGGUCACUGAUCAGUCUUUACGAAUCUUGACAAUAUUUGCAUUUGUUGUGUGUGUGUGGUAAGCGACCAUACUAAUAUAAAUACCCAAGCCUCAUGUCUAUAAUAAUAUAAUCUUCACGUCCAUUUUUGUUUAUCAGAUAAUCUUCACAUCUAAAACUUGAGAAACGAUCGGGGAUGGAGAGAUGCACGAAAUUGCAGAGACAAUACAUUUUAGUAUAAUAAUCUUCACGUACAUAUAAACUAACACAGAGUCAAAGUCAUGUAGCUUCGCCAGAGCACAAUAAAACACCACCAUCCAAAAUGUGCUUGUGAAAAUGAAAUUUUUUAAGGAGACUAUAUUUUUGUACCAUUUUAGUAUACGAUCUUACGUGGUAAAUGAUGUGUACAUGCCACAUCAGUGAAUGAAUCUAUUUGAUUAGAUAUUAGUUGUAUGUAUCAGUUAUCAUGUCAGAUGGUACAAAAAUGUGAUCACCCUAGCAUUAUGUUGUGAAAAGACCAAUCAAAUGAAGAAAAAGAAGCUACUUUCGUCAUCAUAUAAUAGAAAGAACAGAAAAAAAAUAGAGUGGAGGGUUGCGUUUACCGGAUUAUAUUGUUGUUGUUUGUGUUUGUGUUUGGGGUUACAAAAUUAAUUUUUUAUUUUUCAUUUAUUUAAGGGAAAAUUUAAAAGCUUGGUAGAUAAAUUUUUCUGUUUGAGAAUUUUAACGAAAAGCUUCCGGUACUGUUCACUUUAACGAAAAACCACAUUUGUACACUAAAAAGUCAAUUAUGGUACUAUUCACUUUACAUUUUAUUUUGUCUUUAUCGUUAAAACUCAAAGUUUUCAAACUAUUUUCAUUAGUUUUCCUUUUCUAUUUAGGUAUAGAAAUAAGAAAGCUGAGUUCAAACAAAAUUUCUCAAAAAAAUUCCAAACGCGAAAGAUCUUCAUGCUACACAUGGGCCUGCCUGCCCUUGUAGGCCUUAUUUUUGGGCUAUUGGCCUCUCACUCACAAAAGUGGAACAAAUUCUCCUACGGCGCCGUUUCACGACCUAUAUGAGAUUGUACCGUACAUUUUCCCUUUUACACCAAGUCCUUGUCCAACCCGCAUUACGAUCCGAAAGUCCUCACAUCAUCUUUCAUUACAUUUCAAAACUUCUUCUUUCUUCUUGUGUAGGUGUUUUUCAUUGCUCUAUUACACAUUGGAAAAAAAUAAUAGGAGUUGUCAACGUAAAUAAGUGACAGCUUUAAUAAAAAUGAGAAAACAAAAUAUAUGUGUGGUUUAACAAUGAAAAUAAGUUUAAACCUUAAAUCGUAUACGAAUCUAAGUUAACAAACUUGUACUCAAACCAAUCAAUUCAAUCAUGCUCAAACCAAAUUGGUCUAAUAUGUAAGGAAAUCUUGUAAUCCAUAUUUCAAUAGAGAUCUUUUAAAUGACAAGGUACCAUUGUGUGUUCAAAUACUUAGUAAUCAAUUUGCUAAACUAAAAUAAACCUCCAAAGUUUAUAGUAGUGACUAAACAUUUUAUAUUGUCCGCGCUUUUAAUUGGGAUCGAAAGUGUAAGAGAGUUGGUAGUAUAAGGGUGAACAAAAUUGACUAUUAUUUAAAGUUGAAUUUCUUCACUGCCGGCCCGGAAGGUGAAGUGAAAGAGAAAGAGAGAGAAAAAAAUAGGAAAGAAAUGAACACAAAAUAAACAAAGACUAUUUAAAAGAUUAUAAUAAUGACUUCUUAUGUUGAUUACAGCUAUUCAACUAUCAAUAAUGCAUUAUUUUAGGUUGAAAUUCGGAAGCAUUUGAGAAGUAGCAUGACAACAAUCACAUAAUAAACAAAAGUGGUUACAGAAAAGACCCAAAUGUGAAAGGGUAACUAAAAACAAUUAUUCAAGAUGGACGGUGAUGAAUCAAUAUUAUUUUACAUUUUUAUACUAAUCUUAAUUAUAAUUUAUUAGUUAUUUUGGGAGGAUUUUGAUACUUUAUUUUAUAUUUCAAUUGUAGAACAUGUGAAUCUACUUUGGGCAAAAAGCGAUGAAAUAAAAGAAUUUUAAAGUAAUUCCAAUUGGAGUGGAUUCGUAAGUCUUUAAAGAUGAUUGUGUCAAGUGAGGUGUUGGUUGAGUGUAAUGAAUUAAUUGUCCUAGAUUUUGUGAUAAAUUAAUUGGAGUGGAUCUGUGAGUCUUUGCCCAUGCCAAGAGAGUUAGGUGUCAGGGUGAAUGUGGCCUGAGCAAGUAGAUGAAUAAUCGGGAGACAAAGAAAUUGUUGGAUGCCACAAUUCUCCAUUAGAGUGUUGGCACUCUUUGUCAGUUUAAAAAUCUUUUGGAGAUAUUGAGUAGGCAUUAGGUUCUUUUAAAUGAGUUAGUUGUUAGUGUCAGACGUGUCGCUGUUAACUCAGACCAACAGAAAGAUUGUAAGAUUGUAAACAUACGCCAUAAGCUUCUUAAUUAAAGGAUUGUACCAUAAAAAGGUUAAAUAUGGACUCUUAUAUAUAUAUGUAUGUAUGUAUGUAUGUAUGUAUGUAUGUAUGUAUUUUGUUAAUCACAAAUUGAUCGAAUCAUGGUAGUGGUUGUGUUGCAGCAAGUCAAGCUCCUUUGGUCAACAAAAAUAAAAGUUUAUAAUAUAAUAAUUUUGGCGUAUGAACUUGAGAAACAACAUACUGUCGUCCGGGAAGGUGUAGUGAAAGAGAGAGAGAGAGAGAGAGAGAGAUAUAUAUAUAUGAAGGAAAUGAACAUGAAAGGACAAAUACCAUCCAACAUAUUAUAACAAUGACUUAUUGGCUAUAAUUACAACUAUUCAACUAAUCAAUAAUGCAUUAAGAAUAAAAUAUGAUAUGAUUAUAUAUGCAAGUAGUAAUUAAUUAGUUGUGAUUAAUAUCUUAAGAGUUUUUUUUCUUCAAUUGUAAUCUAUAUUCUUGUAACACUCAUCAUUUGUUAAUAAUUUGUGCUUUGGCAAAUUUGAGGCUUCUUUCAGGUAGUAUGUACGGAAUAUUGGAGAGAGAGAUAAUGUUCAGAGAAACUGGUUUCAGAUGAAGCUAAGAAAGUAGUGAAUGACGUAGUAGUUUUAAAUGGAGGAGUCAUACAUUUGCAGUAGUUUGUUCACUUGACGAGUAAAUACAGCAGACAACUGUUUGUAAGACGUUACCAGGUGAGCCCUUAACUUAUGUUAGCAAUCAUUAGUUAGUAAACAUUACUAUACCAACAAGCUACCAAAGUCUAUGUGCUAUAUUAUUAUAUAUAAAACUGGGUUCUAAUGAAAAAGCACUUUUCUAAAAGCACUUUAGAAACCACUUAUGUUUGUCACUUUUGUUCUCUGUAAGCCAUAAUGAAAAAUGAAAUUGAAAUUAAUAUUCAAAAAGGAAAUAAAAAAACAAAUAGAAGCAGAACAUCAUAACGUGUAAUUAAUCGUACCUUGGAACCCUCCCAAACCUCAGAGCCGCACAAGGUUUAUGUGCAUUUUCCCUCCAACCCAUCUUGCUGAACGUUAAACCAAAUUAAAAAUAAUAGAGGCUUUUAACCGUUAGAGAAAAAACAGAUAUUUAACAAGAAAAAAAAAAUGAAAUUGUACUUGUUCAAUUUUCGCCAGAGCACAAUAAAACACCACCAUCCAAAAUGUGCUUGUGAAAAAUGAAAAAUGUUAAGGAGAUUAUAUUUUUGUACCAUUUUAGUAUACGAUCUUAUGUGGCAAAUGAUGUGUACAUGUCACAUCAGUGAAUGAAUCUAUUUGAUUAGAUAUUAGUUGUAUGUAUCAGUUAUCAUGUCAGAUGGUACAAAAAUGUGAUCACCCUAGCAUUACGUUGUGAAAAGACCAAUCAAAUGAAGAAAAAGAAGCUACUUUCGUCAUCAUAUAAUGGAAAGAAUAGAAAAAAAAAUGUGGAGGGUUGCGUUUACCGGAUUAUAUUGUUGCUGUUUGUGUUUGUGUUUGGGGUUACAAAAUUAAUUUUUUAUUUUUCAUUUAUUUAAGGGCAAAUUUAAAAGCUUGGUAGAUAAAUUUUUCUGUUUGGGAACUUUAACGAAAAUCUUCUGGUACUGUUUACUUUAACGAAAAAUCACAUUUUUACACUAAAAAGUCAAUCCUGGUACUAUUUACUUUACCUUUUAUUUUGUCUUUAUCGUUAAAACUCAAAGUUUUCAAACAUUUUUCAUUAGUUUUUUUUUUUUUUCUGUUUAGGUAUAGAAAUAAGAAAGCUGAGUUCAAACAAAAUUUCUCAAAAAAUUUCCAAACGCGAAAGAUCUUCAUGCUACACAUGGGCCUGCCCUUGUAGGCCUUAUUUUUGGGCUAUUGGCCUCUCACUCACAAAAGUGGAACAAAUUCUUCUACGGCGCCGUUUCACGACCUGUAUGAGAUUGUACCGUACAUUUGCCCUUUUACACCAAGUCCUUGUCCGACCCGCAUUACGCUCCGAAAGUCCUCACAUCAUCUUUCAUUACAUUUCAAAACUUCUUCUUUCUUCUUGUGUAGGUGUUUUUCAUUGCUCUAUUACACAUUGGAAAAAAAUAAUAGGAUUUGUCAACGUAAUUAAGUGACAGCUUUAAUAAAAAUGAGAAAACAAAAUAUAUGUGUGGUUUAACAAUGAAAAUAAGUUUAAACCUUAAAUCGUAUACGAAUCCAAGUUAACAAACCUGUACUCAAACCAAUCAAUUCAAUUAUGCUCAAACCAAAUUGGUCUAAUAUGUAAAGAAAUCUGGUAAUCAUAUUUCAAUCGAGAUCUUUUAAAUGACAAGGUACCAUUGUGUGUUCAAAUACUUAGUAAUCAAUCUGCUAAACUAAAAUAAACCUCCAAAGUUUAUAGUAGUGACUAAACAUUUUAUAUUGUCUGCUUGCGUUCGCUUUUAAUUCGGAUCGAAAGUGUGAGAGAGUUGGUAGGAUAAGGGUGAACAAAAUUGACUAUUAUUUAAAGUUGAAUUUCUUCACUGCCGGCCCGGAAGGUGAAGUGAAAGAGAAAGAGAGAGAAAAAAAUAGUAAAGAAAUGAACACGAAGUAAACAAAGACUAUUCAAAAGAUUAUAAUAAUGACUUCUUAGGUUGAUUACAACUAUUCAGCUAUCAAUAAUGCAUUAUUUUAUGUUGAAAUUCAGAAGCAUUUGAGAAGUAGCAUGACAACAAUCACAUCAUAUACAAAAGUGGUUAGUAUAAUUUUACAUCUAUGAUUCGAAAGCGUUUCCCCCAAUCUAGUGUUUUUUUUUUUCUUUAGAUGAAUCUGUUGCCACAACCCAUGAGGAAGAAUAUUAGCUGAGCGAGCAACUUUUGUUUUUAACACUGUUUUGAAAAUGUUUUGGAGCAACAUUGUUGAACUGAAGCGCAGAGUCUUUUAACGAAAGAAAAGACCAAAGCAUCCCAAUUUUUUUAAGGGAGUUUUAACGAAACACUAUCGGUACUAUUCAUUUUUAACGAAAAAUCAUAUUUUUACCUUUUCAUGGUACCAUUCACUAUACCUUUAUUUGUCAUUUUUUUUAUUAAAACUAAAGUUUUUUGGACUUUUCGUUAGUUUUUUUUUUUAAUGGCUCCAUAGUUGCCAAAUUUCUUUUAUUACAACAAUUCUGAUAGAGAAUCAAUUUUCGGGGCAAUGGGCAAAAUUGUGGUUUAGUUAAGCAUCUGUGGAGUUCUAACGUUCAUUAAAUCUUCAAUAAUUCAAAUACUGUAUAAUUUUUAUUUUUUUUAUUUUUUAUCAAAACUUCUUUUUUUCACUUUUUGGUUUAUGCUUCUUUAAUCAAUGUGAGAUAGUUCUUCACUUUGCGGCUAAUUGUAUUGUUUUCUCUUUGAAUUUUCUUUUUUUAUUAAUUGAAAUCCUACAGAGCAUCUAAGCUAUAUUUAAUGAUUUCAUGUUUUUUUUUCUUUAACUGGAUCGUGUUUACAGAAGGACACAACACGUAGCAAAAGCGUUUUUGUAAGGGCCGAAGAAACUGAACAUGGGCUGGGGUUCGCAAUUGGUUUUCAGGUAAGGGAUGUAAUAAGCACUCAUAUCAUACGUGGGAGUUGUAGUUAAGUGUAGUUUUUUUUAUUUUUGCUUUUCAUUUUGUCAGUUUGUUCGAUUAAUGGUGAAGAAGACAUGAAUCACAUGUGUGUAAAUAUUACGUAUCGUAUAUAUACUUAAAACUUUUGACAAAUUUUAUACGGUUUUAAAACCUGCAGCAUCACAUCAUGCAAGCACCUUCGCUAGUAGAAACUAAAACAGUAAAACUGUAGAAGAAGCUUAUGAACACAUCAAUCAUAGUGAACGGGAAGUGGAGAAGAUUUCCGAGAUAUUCUAUUGAGCAAAACCAUCGUUGAUGCGCAAAUAAGGCUUUGGCUGAAUGUGAUCACCCUAGCAUUAGGUUGUGAAAAAACCAAUCAAAUGAAGAAAAAGAAGCUACUUUUGUCAUCAUAUAAUAGAAAGAAUAGAAAAAAAGAGAGGAGGGUUGCGUUUACCGGAUUAUAUUGUUGCUGUUUGUGUUUGGGGUUACAAAAUUCAUUUUUUUUUCUUUUUCAUUUAUUUAAGGGCAAAUUUAAAGGCUUAGUAGAUAAAUUUUUCUUUUUGGAAACUUUAACGAAAAGUUUCCUGUAUUGUUUACUUUAACGAAAAACCAUAUUUUUACACUAAAAAGUCAAUCCUGGUCCUAUUCACUUUACCUUUUAUUUUGUCCUUAUCGUUAAAACUCAAAGAUUGCAAACCUUUUUUAUUAGUUUUUAUUUCAUAAGUUUAGGUAUAUAAAUAAGAAAGCUGAGUUCAAACAAAAUUUCUCAAAAAAUUUCCAUCUUCAUGCUGCACAUGGGCCUGCCCUUGUAGGCCUUAUUUUUGCGCUAUCGGCCUCUCACUCACAAAAGUGGAACAAAUUCUCCUACGGCACCGUUUCACGACCUAUAUGAGAUUGUACCGUACAUUUGCCCUUUUACACCAAGUCCUUGUCUGACACACAUUACGCUCCGAAGGUCCUCUCACCUCCUCGGCCCCAAAUUCCUGCAGGUAAAUCGCACCUCUCUGUAUUCCUCGUUAAUUUCUCUUAUUUUGUGUUUGGUUGCUGAGAAAAUAGAUAAAGAGAAAGAAAAAUGUGGUCUUUUGUUUGCCUUUUUUUUAGGAAAACUAAUGAAAAAGGCUUCAAAAUUUUGAACUUUAACAAAAAACCAUCCUAUAACUUUAUUUAAGAGAGUUUUAAUGAAAAGCUCACGGUAUUGUUCACUUUAACAAAAAAUCACAUUUUUACACUAAAAAGUCAAACAUGCUACUAUUCACUUUACCUUUUAUUUUGUCCUUAUCGUUAAAACUCAAAGUUUUCAAACCAUUUUCAUUAAUUUUCUUUUUAUUUAAUGAUAAGAACAAGAGAAAAAAAAAACAAAAAAACAAAAAGACCUAACUAAGGCGCGUGCAAGGGCAUGCCACCCAAAUUCUUCACCUGCACAAACAUUUCAGAUCGAAGGCUACAAAUCUUCCUACUGGAAUUCCACGUAUUCUCCAGUGACCAUCUUUCAAAUGGUUUGAUUACUCUCUUCACCAACUUUCCCCAAACUUCUCAACCGCAAACUCUCUUUCACCAACAAUCUUAAAGUUGAGCAUUCCUUUCAAUCGAUGAAGUUGAAAGGAAUACGAGAAAGCAAAAAUUGCAAGAUUGCGAAGUAAGUGAAAAUCGAAAAGAAAAGAGAGGUCAUCUUCCCAACUCCUGCAACCAGAAACCGUCCAGAUUUUGCAAAAGCUAAAGAAUUCACAAAUCCAACCUGCACGGAACAAGAAUAUUGAGGGAAGAAAAAACUUGUUAACUUCUGAUUUACACGAGGCAAACAAGGUUUUUUAAUAAUUGAUUUGGCAUACCAAUGGGAUGUUGUGUAACGGCUGAAGCACUCUGCUCUCACUUUCAAUAGCCCAUAAUCGAACAGAGCCAUUACCAGCUCCUGAUGCAGCGAGGUCACUGCCUCUACAAACAGUGACUGAACUGAUCCAAGAAUUGGUUGAUGAACAAUCAAAGCUUUCAGAAGUGUGGUUACCAUUUUCUGCACAACAAAGUUCAAUACCAUCCCGUUAGAACACAACUAACUGGGAAAAAAAGCGUCCACAGGAUAAAACUUGAAGCCCGAAAAACUUAUGUUUUAGAUAAACUUGAAGCCCGAAAAACUUGAAGCCCGAUUAAAGUGGUUUUCCUAGAAUGAUUUCUCACAUACCCAACAACUUAUAUUAAUUCCUUAAUUGUGGCUGUCUUGGGAAUCCGCAUGUUUUCAUGGUGCGGUGGCACUCCUUUAUGUUUUGGUGUUCCUUCUAGACAAUAGUUUUCAAUUGCAUUGAUAACUAGCUGCUGCUUAUCCUUUUGAGUUAGUUUUUCAUCUUUCCUUUAGAUUGUAUUGUUCAUGCUCUUGGUGAGAGUGUUGUAACUUGUAAGCUUAUUUUCCUUGUUAGUAAAAGUUGAUUCAUCUUCAUUGAGUUCCAUUCUUUCUCUUUACUGUUGGUUUAAGUCUUGGGCUAGUGUGGAGUUUGCACUAACCGAGAAGCAAUACUCUGGAGUUUGGAAUAUUGUCUUUCUCUACAUGGUACCAGAGCUACAAGGGAGGUAGCUUCUGUUGUCAAGUUUCCUCUAGUAAAGAAAGAUUGUGAUACUCAAAGAUGGACUCAAACCGAAGCUCUGGAUUAGGUAUUGAUUUAUUGAAUCAGUCAAAUUUCAAGGUAUGGAAAUCUUGUAUGGAAUCCUAUCUCUUGGGUGAAGAUUUAUGGGAGGUUGUUGGUGGAGAUGAAACUGCCACUCCAACAAAUACACAAGAAAUUCCAGACGCUUUGAAGAAGUGGAAGGUGAGGAAUGCUAAGGCUGAAUUUGCUUUGAAGAAAUCCAUUUCUCGCGAGCUGUUUGAACACAUCACAGAUUGCAAAUCCGCAAAUGCGAUAUGGACAACUCUUGAUGGCUUAUUCAACAAAAAGAAUGAAGGAAAUUGCUGGAGAAUGAUCUAGCAAAUUUAACCCAAGGUGAUCUUUCUAUUUCUCAGUUUUUCUUGAAGGCAAAAAAUUUAUGCUCCGAAAUUUCGUCUCUUGAUACGGAAGGACCAAUGUCGGAUGCACGAGUACGAAGGCAUAUUAUCCGUGGGCUUAAACAUGAAUAUGUUCCUUUUGUUACAUCAAUACAAGGAUGGGCAAAUCAACCGUCUUUGGUAGAGCUAGAAAAUCUUCUAGCCUCUCAAGAGUCUUUGGCUAGACAAAUGGCUAGUUGCUCUGUGUUAUCUUCAAAUGGUGAUGGAAGUGCCCUGUUUACUAGAAAAAAGAAGUUUGAAAAGAAAAAAAUCUACCAGCCCCGUGAUUCCAACUACCGAAAAGACGAGAAGAAGGAAAGAUUUACCAAUGAAGAUGUGAAUAAGCAAUGCCAUCGCUGUGGGAAAAUGGGGCAUAUACGUAAAAAUUGUAAUGUGAAGAUGCAAGGGGGGAACAUGGCUAAAUUGAAAGAACCAAAGAGUGAGGAAAAUUGGGGGAAGUGCCUUGUGGCUGAAACUACCAAUAUAGAUGCUUUGGCCUCAAUCAAUUUCAAAGAAGACUGGAUUGUUGAUUCUGGUUGCAGCCAUCAUCUCACAGGCAAUGAGUCCAUGUUCUCUUCCUUCCGAAAAUAUGAAGGAAACGAUGCCAUUGUCACAGCAGAUGAUUCUGUUCACCCAGUUAAAAAGGAGGGAGUUGUUACAAUUGACAACGGCGAUGAUCGCAUUACACUGAAUAGUGUUUUUCAAGUACCGGGUAUGAAGAAAAAUCUGUUUUCGGUGGCAAAUACGGUUGAUACAGGUACAUAUGUUCUCUUUGGACCUGAAAAUGUGAAGUUCUUACGAAAUUUGAAAAGCAUAGAUGCUGAUGUUGUUCAUACUGGUAGAAGAGUUAAAGAUGUGUUUACUUUAUCAGCUACAUCUAGUUCUUAUGUUGAUAACAUGAGUAAAAAUGAUAGUCCUACACUUUGGCAUGCUAGAUUGGGGCAUUUGAGCAUGGAUAAGUUAAAGGCUAUGGUGCUGAAAAAUUUGGUUGAUGGGUUGCCAAAGAUAAACUCAUUUGCUUGUGAUAAAGUUUGUGAAGGUUGUCAAUUUGGGAAGGCACAUCGUCUUCCAUUUCACAAAUCUGAUUCAAGAAGCAAGGUUUCUUUGGAAUUGGUUCAUAGUGAUCUUAUGGGACCAACCACUACACCUUCUUACACAGGUUGUAGGUAUAUGCUACUUUUUGUAGAUGACUUUACAAGAUUUACUUGGGUAUAUUUUGUGAAGGAAAAAUCAGAGGUCUUCUCCAAGUUUCAAGAAUUCAAAGUAAAUGUUGAAGGGGUUCUUGAAAGGAAAAUCAAGUGUCUCCGCACUGAUAAUGGUGGAGAAUUUACUUCAUCAGAAUUCAUUAAAUUUUGCAUGGAGCAUGGUAUUCGUAAGCAGCUCACUUGUGCUUACACGCCGCAACAAAAUGGUGUGGCGGAAAGGAAGAUUAGGCAUUUGGUGGAGACUUGCAAGAGCUGGUUAUUUGCAAAGAAUUUGCCGAAGGCCUUAUGGGCAGAAGGUAUGGCUUGUGCAACAUAUGUGAUUAAUCGAGUUCCUCUUAGUCCAAUUGAUUUGAUGUCUCCAUAUGAGAAAUUGGCUGGUGAAAAACCAAAUGUCAAGCACUUCAAAGUUUUUGGUUCCAUUUGCUAUAAAUUUGGAAUUGAAGAAUGCUAUUCUUAUUCAAUAGAAUGCUAUUCUUAUUCAAUCUAUCCCAAAUGAAAACAACUAAUAUAUAUAUACAUACAAUGAUAGCACGCAUGCAGUAAUUAAAUAUAAAAAGGAAUGGGCAUCCUUGCUGCCCAUGAUGUAACUGACACGCCCAUGUUGUGCAUCCACCAUGUGCAAACCCUUUCUGACAAGGAUUUUGGUAUCCACAUGCAGCUGUCCAAACUGUCUAGGAAUGUGCAUCCACAUGCUACAUUCCUGCUGUCCACCUUGUACAGAUUGAGUGAUUUCUGUUCCUUUAACACUCCCCCUCAAGUUGGAGCGUGAAUGUCAAUGACGCCCAACUUGCCUAGAUGUGUAUGAAAAAUAGGCGCCCGAAGUGGCUUAGUAAACAAGCUGCAUGUGGUUGAUCUUUACCAUUCUUUUUUAUGAAGGAGAGUCAUGAGUUGACUGUAUUCCUUGGUUGUGAAUGUUGGAUUGUUGGCGAUUUGUGAUUGAGGUGCUCGCUGACCAUAGCCUUCUGGAGUGCUAGGUGACUGAGCGGUUUGUCCAUAAACUGCAGGAUUUGCAAGAGUCUUUCGUGCUGGAUGUGCUUCAUAUUCAGUGCCAUAUGUGGGUUGAGCCGAUGGUUGGCUUUCAUAACCAGUUUGAGCAGUUGGCUGCCCAGUUCUCUUGUUGUUCAUGAUGGAUGUAAUUUCUUGAUAUUGGGUAUCAGAAAGUGAUCUACGCCAAGUAGAAUGAUUAUCUCCAUCGGAGACGAGAACGUGAAUAGAAAAAAGGAUUGGAUGCUUUUGGCUUGUAUCCAUCUUGUAAAGCUGAUUUGGAUGCUGCCUGCUUCCUCCUUUAUUUUCUGCUUCGGUGGCACUGGUUUGAGUGAAGCUGAGUAGGCGGAGCAGUGACGUAAUGAAUGCGUAGCAGGUAAUGCAGCGACGAUAGCUGUGUAGUAGUUGUGCGACAGCAAGGCAGCGAGUGUGCAGCUUGCAGUGCAAUGGUUGUGCAGUAGCAGGUAAUGCAGCGACGAUGGCCGUGUAGUAGUUGUGCGACAGCAAGGCAGCGAGUGUGCAGCUUGCAGUGCAAUGGUUGUGUAGUAGCAGGUGUCCCUGUGCACAAUAUAGUAGCGGAAGAGUGAAGGCAGAGCAGAGCAAAUGAUUAAUCCUGCUCUGAUACCAUAUAAAUUUGAAAUUGAAGAAUGCUAUUCUUAUUCAAUCUAUCCCAAAUGAAAACAACUAAUAUAUAUAUACAUACAAUGAUAGCACGCAUGCAGUAAUUAAAUAUAAAAAGGAAUGGGCAUCCUUGCUGCCCAUGAUGUAACUGACACGCCCAUGUUGUGCAUCCACCAUGUGCAAACCCUUUCUGACAAGGAUUUUGGUAUCCACAUGCAGCUGUCCAAACUGUCCAGGAAUGUGCAUCCACAUGCUACAUUCCUGCUGUCCACCUUGUACAGAUUGAGUGAUUUCUGUUCCUUUAACAUUUGCUAUGUUCAUAUACCAGAUGCUCAAAGGACCAAGCUAGAUGCAAAAGCAAAAAAAUGCAUUUUCGUUGGUUACGAUGAAAGGAAAAAGGGUUGGAAGUGCAUGGAACCUGAUACUCACAAAAUUACAGUUUCAAGGGAUGUUGUUUUUGAUGAGAUUUCCUCUUAUUUUGACAAGAAAGAUGCUUCCGUUGAAAUCGGGUUGGUGGAGUCUUUGCCUAUUCCAUUAGUGAAUGAAAUCAGCCCCUCAUCAUAUGACCAAGCAUGUGAAGAAACUGUGACUCAAAAUGAUUCUUUUAUGAGGGAGCAUGCAAAUGGGGGAGCUGAGACUUGUCAUGUUGAAACUGAAGGCAGCGAGGAACUUGUAGAUGAACCAUCUCUUAGAAGAUCCCAAAGAACAAUUGUGAAGCCAUCUCGUUUUAAAGAUUUUGUUAGUCUUUACUCUUGUCUUCUUGCUGGACCAUUUGAUGAUAAUGAGCCAUCUUGCUUUGAUGAAGCUCAUGGAAAAAAGGAAUGGGAUGAAGCUAUGGAUUUGGAGAUGAAUGCUCUAAUAAAAAAUGAGACUUGGGAUCUUGUUCCAAAACCCCAAGGUGCAAAUCCAGUGACAUGCAAAUGGGUUUAUAAAAUAAAGCGGAAAGCAGAUGGAAGUAUUGACAGGUUUAAAGCAAGACUUGUUGUCCGCGGUUUCUCUCAAAAAUAUGGGGAAGAUUAUGAAGAAACUUUUAGCCCUGUUGCAAAGUUAACUUCAGUCUGAAUUAUGAUAUCAUUGGCAGCUUGUAGAGGAUGGAAAUUAUGGCAGCUCGACGUUAAAAAUGCAUUCUUGUAUGGCGAGAUUGACAAAGAGAUAUAUAUGGUACAACCACCUGGGUAUGUAUCACAAGAGCAUCCAAAUUUUGUUUGCAAGCUUAAGAAAGUGCUUUACGGCUUGAAACAAGCUCCGAGAGCUUGGUAUGGUAAGAUUGCUGAAUUCUUACUAUUCUGUGGUUAUGUUGCUUCAGAUUCUGAUGCAAGCCUAUUUGUCAAGUGGCAUGAAAGCUCACACAUUGUAGUUCUCUUGUAUGUGGAUGACAUGAUUGUGAGUGGCAAUGAUGAGAAGGAAAUUGCAAAACUUCGAUCCGAACUCUCAAUUCGGUUCGAAAUGAAAGAUUUGGGUGAACUAAGUCACUUUCUUGGUUUGGAAGUGGAAAAUUUAAUGCAUGGAGUUUUUGUAUCUCAAAAGAGCUAUGCUGGAAAUCUUGUUGAAAAGUUUGGAUUAUCUACAAGCAAAAAGUGCUCCACUCCACUGGAUGCAAAUUUGAAGUUAAGGCAAAAUCAAGGCAAGCUUCUUCCAGAUUCUCGAUCGUAUCGUGCAUUGGUUGGUAGCCUUAUUUACUUGACCAUCACAAGGCCAGAUAUUUCAUUUGCGGUUGGGCUUGUUAGCCGAUUUAUGCAGAAUCCUCGGAAACCUCAUCUUGAUGCAGCAAAACGAAUAUUGAAAUAUGUUUCAGCAACUCUUGACAUGGGACUUAUGUUCAAGAAAGAUGUUGAUUUUAAGCUAUAUGGUUUUACAGAUGCUGACUUUGCUGGUGAUUUAGAUGAUCGAAAAUCAACGUCUGGCUAUGUUUUCUUUUGUGGAUCAGCAUGUAUUUCUUGGUGCAGUAAGAAACAAGACUCUGUCUCUCUUUCAACAACUGAGGCUGAAUAUAAAGCCUCUUCUUUUGCUGCUCAAGAAUGUGUUUGGUUGCGUCGGUUGAUUGGGGAUGUUGAUUCACCAAUCUACUGUCCUACGGUUAUACAUGGUGACAACCAAAGUGCUAUAAAGCUUGCAACAAAUCCAGUGUUUCAUGCGAGGACCAAGCACAUUGAGACUGAGCAUCACUAUAUUCGUGAAUGUGUGCUUAAAGGAAGAGUCAAAGUUUCUGAAGUUCGAAGUAGUGCAAACGUUGCUAACAUCUUUACAAAGUCGCUCUCCAAAGGACCGUUUGAAGACUUCCGUGUGCAGCUUGGUUUAACAUCUAGAAAAUCACUUUAAGGGGGAGUGAUAAAAUUAAAGUGGUUUUCCUAGAAUGACUUCUCACAUACCCAACAACUUAUAUUAAUUCCUUAAUUGUGGCUGUCUUGGGAAUCCGCAUGUUUUCAUGGUGCGGUGGCACUCCUUUAUGUUUUGGUGUUCCUUCUAGACAAUAGUUUUCAAUUGCAUUGAUAACUAGCUGCUGCUUAUCCUUUUGAGUUAGUUUUUCAUCUUUCCUUUAGAUUGUAUUGUUCAUGCUCUUGGUGAGAGUGUUGUAACUUGUAAGCUUAUUUUCCUUGUUAGUGAAAGUUGAUUCAUCUUCAUUGAGUUCCAUUCUUUCUCUUUACUGUUGGUUUAAGUCUUGGGCUAGUGUGGAGUUUGCACUAACCGAGAAGCAAUACUCUGGAGUUUGGAAUAUUGUCUUUCUCUACAUCCACCACCAUCAUCACCAUCAUGAAUGUGGUUGUUGCUCAGGGAUGUAGCGAAACCGGAGAAGGCACUAUUUCUAAAACAGUGUCGUAAGUUUCAUAAACAGUGUAAUAAGUUUCAUAAUGUUAGACAAAUAAGGAAUAUGGUUGGAGUCCUUGUGUAAUUGUAGUCCUAAUUGUAGUUGUAUUCCUAAUUUGUAGGGAUUUUUCCUUGCUAUGCAAGGCAUGUAAUUGUAUAUAAUAUCAUUCACGUAUCAAUAACAUAUAUGCUUUUUAGCCUACAUAACUUUUUCUUACAUGGUAUACAGAGCAGGUUUAAAACCCUAGCCCUAUUUUUUUUCCCUUUUUUUUCGGCAGCUUUCUCUGCCGUUCCCAUGGCUGAUUAUUCUUCUCCCGAUGGUGCUUUUUCCCUUCAUCAUUCAGACCACCCGAGUCUUGUCCUUGUAUCCAAGAAGUUGAAUGGUGAUAACUACACAUCCUGGGCCCGUGGAAUGCAGCUUUCUUUGAGUGCCAAGAAUAAACUUGGUUUCAUCACUGGUGAUGUCCAAGAGCCUUCUUCCUCCGACGAUCCCGAUGAUCACGCGGCUUGGCGUCGUUGCAAUGACAUGAUUCUCUCUUGGCUUCUUCAUUCCUUGGAACCUGACCUUCAAGAAUCUGUGUUUUUUUCCACCUCUGUCAAGGAUGUGUGGGACGAUCUUCGCAAACGCUUCUCUCAGAGUAACGCUCCUCGCAUCUUCCAACUCAACCGGGAGCUUGCUACAAUUUCUCAAGGUUCUUCUUCUGUCUCAGCCUAUUUUACUCGCCUGAAAGCUCUCUGGGAUGAGCUUUCUUCUUAUAAUGAUGGCUGCAUGUGCUCUUGCAACGCCAAGCAUGACCGUCAACAACUCAUGCAAUUUUUAAUGGGCCUCAACCAAUCCUUUGAUGCCGUUCGUGACCAGAUCCUUUUGAUGAAUCCCCUUCCCACUGUUCGUCAAUCUUCUCUUUCUGGUGCUCAUUAUUUUUUAACCAUUGUGGAUGAUUUUUCUCGAUUUACGUGGGUCUUCCUCAUGAAACAUAAAUCCGACACUCAACAAUUAAUUAAGGAUUUUUUUGCUUAUGUCCAUACCCAAUUCCGCACUACAAUCCAAUGCAUUCGUACUGACAAUGGCGGUGAAUUUUUAUCUCUUCGUAGUUUUUUCUCUGAUCAUGGGGUGCUUUUACAAACUUCUUGUGUUUAUACCCCCCAACAAAAUGGCGUUGUUGAACGCAAACAUCGUCAUCUUCUUGAAACCGCUCGCGCACUUCGUUUUCAAUCCCAUCUUCCUCUCAAAUUUUGGGGUGAAUGUGUCCUUACCGCUACUUAUCUCAUCAAUCGUUUCCCAACCCAUCUUCUCCAUAAUAAAUCCCCCUUUGAGGUUCUCUUUUCGAAAACCCCAUCUUAUGACCACUUCCGCGUCUUUGGUUGUCUGGCCUAUGCCACCUCUGUCACUCCCACCACCAAAUUUUCCCCUCGGGCUCAUCGUUGCAUUUUUCUCGGUUACUCUCAUGGACAAAAAGCCUAUACCCUUUACGAUCUCGACCAUCACCGUAUUUUCACUAGUAGAGAUGUCAUCUUUCACGAAAAUACUUUUCCUUAUGCCGUUCCUAACCCUCCUAUCCCAUCCACUCCGCCUACGCUACCCAUCCCACCCCCUCUGGAAUUUUCCUAUACCCCACCCCUCCCUGCCCCGCCACCUCACCCUCAUACCACUUCAUCCACUUCCACGCCUCCCACAGAUUCCCUUGCUGCCCCCUUACCCGUUCCUCCACCUGCCCCUGCCCUCUCGGCAUCCCCUCCUUCCCCCACCGCUACUUCCUUACCUUUCACCCAUUUACCCACGGACAUCCCUACCCCCCCCCCCCACUUCCUACCAAUCCUCCCAUUCCCCGCACCUCUUCUCGUGCCCAUAAACCUCCAUCAUAUUUAAAAGUCUACGUUUGCUGGCAGGUGAUUCUGCCAUCCCACCAAUCUUCAAAUUCGCAACCCGGUUCUACACAAGGUACGCGAUAUCCACUUUGUAAUUUUCUUUCUUAUCACCGUUACUCUCCCUGACAUUUUUCAUAUAUUAACUUUGUCAGUCAGACUGUGGAGCCUUCCUCUUUUGCCGAGGCUGCCACUGACCCCAAUUGGCAACGUGCUAUGACUGAGGAGCUUCAAGCUUUACAUGCUAAUGGUACUUGGACUUUAACUUCCUUGCCCCCUGGCAAAAUUCCCAUUGGUUGUAAAUGGGUGUACAAACUCAAGUACAACUCCGACGGCUUUAUUGAGCGCUACAAAGCUCGUUUGGUUGCUAAAGGCUUCACUCAGGCUGAAGGUAUUGAUUAUCAUGACACUUUUUCUCCUACUGCUAAGAUGAUUACGGUGCGUUGUCUUCUUGUUCUUGCUGCUAGUCAGUCUUGGUCUCUUCAUCAGCUUGAUGUUAAUAAUGCUUUCUUACAUGGUGACUUACAUGAAGAACUCUAUAUGUCUCCUCCUCCUGGUCUUCGGCGACAGGGGGAGAAUCUUGUGUGUCGCCUUCACAAGUCACUUUAUGGUCUUAAGCAGGCUUCUUGCCAAUGGUUUGCCAAAUUCACUAGUGCCAUCAUUUCUGCUGGUUUUCAACAAUCCAAAGCUGACUAUUCAUUGUUCACUAAAAAGUCUGGUAUUUCUUUCACAACUUUGCUCAUUUAUGUGGAUGAUAUUGUGAUUACAGGCAAUGAUGCUAGUGCCAUUAAUUCUCUGAAGUCUUUUCUCCGUGAUCAUUUUCGGAUAAAAGACCUUGGUGAUUUAAAAUAUUUUUUGGGUAUUGAGGUUUCUCGUUCCAAACAAGGGAUUUAUAUUUCUCAACGCAAGUAUGCAUUAGAGAUUCUCAAGGACUAUGGUUUUUUGGGAGCACGACCCAUUGCUUUUCCUAUGGAUGACACAAAAUUAUCUGAUAAAGGAGAACUUCUCAAGGAUCCUGAAAGGUAUCGACGAUUAGUAGGUCGGUUAAUAUAUCUCACUAUAACUUGGCCGGAUAUUACCUAUUCUGUGCAUGUUCUAAGCCGUUUUAUGCACGAGCCAAGGAUAUCUCAUAUGGAUGCAGCGCUUCGUAUUGUUCGUUAUUUGAAGGCUACUCCAGGUCAAGGUUUAUUAUUUCGAUCUGACAACCAGACCAAGUUAACUGCGUUUUGUGAUUCUGAUUGGGCAGGUUGUCAUAUCACUCGUCGUUCGACUAUUGGGUAUUGUGUAUUCUUGGGCGGUUCUUUGAUUUCAUGGCGGACGAAACGACAGAAAACUGUUUCGCUCUCUUCAGCAGAGGCAGAAUAUAGGGCUAUGGCAGGUUCUUGUUGCGAGAUAGUUUGGCUUCAUUUUUUGUUGAAGGAUUUGAACAUUUCCUUGGUUGGUCCUUCCAGUUUAUUUUGUGAUAAUCAAGCAACGUUACAUAUAGCUGCCAAUCCUGUUUUUCAUGAACGAACUAGUCACAUUGAGAUGGAUUGUCACUUUAUACGAGAUAAGAUUGUAGAUGGCACAAUAGAGACCAAACAUGUGGGUACGGCACAACAGUUGGCAGACUUGUUUACCAAACCUCUUGGGAAAGAAAAGUUUUCGAGUAUGUUACGCAAGUUGGGAGUUCUUGACAUCCACUCUCCAACUUGAGGGGGAGUGUUAGACAAAUAAGGAAUAUGGUUGGAGUCCUUGUGUAAUUGUAGUCCUAAUUGUAGUUGUAUUCCUAAUUUGUAGGGAUUUUUCCUUGCUAUGCAAGGCAUGUAAUUGUAUAUAAUAUCAUUCACGUAUCAAUAACAUAUAUGCUUUUUAGCCUACAUACCUUUUUCUUACACAUAAACGGUAUACCGUGAGUCUGCGCGUUAGAUUUUUUGUCAUUUUUAUUAAAAUUAUGCAUUUUUUUAUUAAAAUUUAAGUUCUUUUGUCAUUUUUAUUAAAAUUUAAUGGAUUUUCAUUAAAAUUUAAGAUUUUACGAGGAAUUUGAGGAGUCGGCGGCUUUUGGAACUUGGGCUCAGAGACGGCUAUGGUGAGGUAGCAGCUGAGGAGUAUUCUCAUAUCCCGGCAACCCCACACGACGUCGUUCCUGAAACUAAGGUAUUUUCUGGUAUAGAUUAAACUCGCCCACUACAUUUACAAUGAAUUUGGAAGUUUUAGGUCCCGACUUACAGUUUAUGGCUCCAAACUGAUUGUCACGAAAUUGAUUAUUUGAUUGGUGGUGUUUUGGUAUCAAGAGGACGAACAGAUUUGUGCUCUAGAUCAGGGCAAAGGCUUGCCGUGAGAAAUUGACGAGGGAGAGAUUUAAUGACAGGUACGUAUGUAUCCAAUCUCAAAUUAUUUUUUAUUUUUUGAAGAAUUGGGUUGUUUUGUAAUGAUGAAAUGAAUGGUGGUUUUCUGUUGAAUUUUACUGUUUUGCAAUUUGGGAUUUCUGUGUGGAUUGUAAACUUUUAAUUUUUUUGUCAGUGAUUGAAUUUUUCUUGCAUUUGACACAUACUUAAUGAAAUGAGAUUGAAAAAUAAGGAGUUGCUGUCAGGCGUUUAUGUUUUAGUAUAAUUUUACAUCUAUGAUUCGAAAGCGUUUCCCCCAAUCCAGUGUUUUUUUUUCUUUAGAUGAAUCUGUUGCCACAACCCAUGAAGAAGAAUAUUAGCUGAGCGAGCAACUUUUGUUUUUAACACUGUUUUGAAAAUGUUUUGGAGCAACAUUGUUGAACUGAAGCGCAGAGUCUUUUAACGAAAGAAAAGACCAAAGCAUCCCAAUUUUUUUAAGAGAGUUUUAACGAAACACUCUAGGUACUAUUUAUUUUUAACGAAAAAUCAUAUUUUUACUUUUUCACGGUUCCAUUCACUACACCUUUACUUUAUUUGUCAUUUUUCAUUAAAACUAAAUUUUUUUGGACUUUUCGUUAGUUUUCUUUUUUUUUAAUAGCUCCAUAGUUGCCAAAAUUAUUUUAUUACAACAAUUCUGAUAGGGAAUCAAUCUUCGGGGCAAUGGGCAAAAUUGUGGUUUAGUUAAGCAUCUGUGGAGUUCUAAUGUUCAUUAAAUCUUCAAUAAUUCAAUUACUGUACAAUUUUUUUUAUUUUUUAUCAAAACUUCUUUUUUUCACUUUUUGGUUUAGGCUUAUUUAAUCAAUGUGAGAUAGUUCUUCACAUUGCGGCUAAUUGUAUUGUUUUUUCUCUUUUGAGUUUUCUUUUUUUAUUAAUUGAAAUCCUACAGAGAUAUCUAAGCUAUAUUUAAUGGAAGUUGUUAGGGCCAAAGAAACUGAACAUGGGCUGGGGUUCGCAAUUGGUUUUCAGGUAAGGGAUGUAAUAAGCACUAAUAAAAUGGAAGCUGUAGUGAAGUGUAGUUUUUUUAUUUUUGCUUUUCAUUUUGUCAGUUUGUUCGAUUAAUGGUGAAGAAUACAUGAAUUACAUGUGUGUAAAUAUUGCAUAUCGUAUAUAUACUUAAAACUUUUGACAUAUUUUAUAUGGUUUUAAAACCUGCAGCAUCACGCGAGCACCUUCGCCAGUAGAAACUAAAACAGUAAAACUUUAGAAGAAGCUUAUGAACACAUCAAUCAUAGUGAACGGGAAGUGGAGAAGAUUUCCGAGAUAUUCUAUUGAGCAAAACCAUCGUUGAUGAGCUUUUUAAUCUUUAACAGGAACAGCUCUCCGAUCUUACAAAUAACUUCCGUCGAUAAUUUUGGAGAAUCAGACAGAAAACUAUUUUCUGAUUGCGCAAAUGAGUUCAUCGACUGCAGAGGUAAUAGAAAAGCUAGAAGUUCUUCUACUAAAAUGUGUGGUCAAUCGUCUGCUAACAUGUUAGGGCAAGUCAAGUUUAAUGAAAAGGUAGUAGAAACUAUUGACUGGCUAUCAUUGAUUUUCUAACAUUAAAAGUCAAUUCUUGGAAUAUGUGGUGGCAGCAGGGCAGGGCAAGUAUUUGUGCGAAUUCUGAGUAGUAUUUGUCAAAUAUUGGGAUGAGAGAGAGAAAGAGAGAGUGAGAUACCUGUUGGAUGCUCUUCCCAAAAUCAGCUGUUAAAUUGGUACAGUUACUCAUAUAAAUCCAUGCAUGGAGUUUAAUGACUUACCCAAGCCCGGAACCUCAAUGAGAGUUUGGGUGACUCCCUUACAUUCAGUUUUCUCAUAUUUGACAUUUCCAAAAAACUGGGCAUUGUUUUCAAUGCAGGGCAAUUAGAGGCGUACAAAAAUUUCAAAUUUGUUGGUAAAUCAAGGAUUGUAUGAAGGUUAAAGCGUUGAUCUAACCGUAGAGUUUCAAGCUUUGACAGACUACUGAGGUUGGGUAGAGCAUAAAAAUCAUUUCGUCGAACAUCCAAAUAUUGCAAGGAAAUUAGACUCCCAAGACCCAUAACGAUUGCAUCAUCAUCUAUGUCGCACAAAUAGCAGUGGAACGAAUAGGGAGAAUGAACACACCCAAACCUUACGGUUAGAGAUAAGCGAGUGAGAUUCUUCAAUCUUAGUAUGGAAGGUGGUACUUCUCUUAUGGUUGUUUCCUCUGCUUCAAGUAUUCUCAAUGAUAUCAUCUCCCCUAAAUCCUUAUGCAGUUUACUGAAUUUUGAACAGUAAUUAAGACAGAGUGAACAGAUUUGGACCUUUAGAAAUCCCUUGGAAGAGAACUAAGCAUUCUGCAUCCGUUUAGGUUCACCAAAGAAAGUCUUUUAAGACGACCAAUGUAGGGGUGAAUCUCAGACAAAUUGAUACAGCGUUCCAAUAUCAACUCUUCAAGAUUUGGGACUUGUGAAAAGUCCAGUGAUUUAAUUAGGUAAUCAGAAAAACUAAAAAAAAAGGUCGUACCCAGUGCACAAGGCUCCCGCUUUACGCAGGGUCUGAGAGAGGUGAAUGUCGGCUAGACUUACCCCCAUUUAUGAAGAGGCUGCUCCCAAAAGGAAAGGAAAAUUGAAAUUAAUAUCCAAAAGGAAGACCUAUCUCAUAACUAGUUUCUCUUGAUUUAAAAUGUCAUUUGGUAUGGACUCUAAAGGGAAUCCAUGCCAGGACAACCAUAUUAACUCUUUGGGAAGAUGCUUGUAUUCUCCAUUGAGCUCUACGUAGCUGAGCUUAAGAAAUUUCAGUUUCUUCAUAUUGGUAAAUGCUACUGUACUGAAAGUAUACUCGUUAGAGUUUUGAAACCAAAGAUCAAGGGAAUCUAGAGCAAGUCCUUCAACUUGUUCAGUUCCCUGUUAACAAAAGCAUUAUUUGCAUAUGUUUACACGAAUUUGCCUAACGAAUUAUACUUCAUCCCCCUUUAGGUGAUGAGCUUAUUUCACCACUUGCAAAUUACGUUUCUUUAUUGUACAAAUUUCAUAAACGAUCUCCGAUUAUAAAAUUUGUAAAUAAAGGAAUUAGCUCAUCACUCCAAGAGAGGAAUGCAAGUAUCAACCCAUAUAGUCACGUACGGUGAAUAUAUGCAAGUAUUAUUGUUGGUUAAUUGAGCUUUCCUUGUGCAACUACACAUACACAUGAAUGUUGUUUAAUGUAUAUAGACAUACGUGGGUUUUUAUUGGUAAUGUACUUACAAAUUUAUUUCUCAACACAUCGGUCACCUCUCGAGGGUUCCACAACUUACUCCAUUUUUCAGGAUGACCAGGGGAAUUUUCGAAAUGAUUGCUCUGCCAUUUCUCGAAGCAAAUCAUGCAUAUUCAACUUGUUGCGUUCAACAUUUUCAAGACAUCGUUCACGAAGGACACUAGUUUCUACUGUUGCUGAAAAUCCACAUUCAUCUCAAGGAAUAUAGCUUUUUUUGUAUCAUCUAGCCCUUUAAAGCUUAUUCUUAAUGAUUUUAUUAUUUUUCCAUCUGGUGUUCCUUCCAAUUUCUCCAAUUGACUUUUCCAGAGCCAAUAGUAGUGUAGUCAUUCUAGAGCUUGGUGGACCCAAUAGUAAUGUCAAUCUAGAAGACAAUACCAACGGCUUGUUAGGCGUAAACACAUAGACAUUCUGAUGCCAAUGUGGCGAUAUACCAAGUAACCAAAGCCAAUCCAACACUACCACGAGAUCAAUUGACUUGAAAUACCGUUACCAUGGCAUCCCGAUUAUAAGUCCUUUUCGUAAACACUGGACUGGAAAUUCAGUAACCGAGUACUGACUGAAGCUUAAAAAACUUACCUUGAAGGUCUUAUAAUCCCGCUAAUGUUGUCUAAAAUAAUUAAUUUGCUUCUCUGCCCCCUGUAUAUACCAAUUGCCUAAAACGCCAUCCGAAAAAUGCAAAGAUUACAAAUCUUUCACAAAAUUAUGUAAUUUAAGAAAAUUAAGGGGAGAAUUUGAAUGAUUUUAUACCUCCGUCAUAUUAAAAACAAAAUUGGGAAUAGUCGGCAGCGCUCUGCUUCCGACAUGGACGAAAGCUUCAACCUUCAAGUUCUGAAAUCGGACCUCGAUCUUCGGAAAAUUCAAUGCUACUCUGCACACUCAAAUAAAGAACACCAAAACAAAUUAAGCACAAAAGAAAAGUUCCGAAAUUGAAAAGGACAAAAUGAAUAUCUGUUUAGUUGCUGAGAAAACGAGAGAAAACAGAAACUUCAGUACUCGCAGUCUCUGCCGACAUUUUCUCAGCAGCCAAACAGACACAAAUUAAGUACAAGAGAAAAGUUUCGAAAUUGGAGAGGACGAAAAGAAAAUCCUCCGUUUGGUUGCUGAGAAAAUAAUCGCAUUAGGCACUGUAUACUGAAUUUCUCAGCAGCCAAACAGUGUCAAUCACAGUAUAUCCAGUAAAACUGAAGAGGAUUACGCGUCAAAUCUGCGGCGCAUGCGAUCGAAGAAUUGUUCGGGGUCGUCGGCGGCGGAGCUAACAAGCCGGUCGAGAUUGGGCUUCUGCUCCUUAGCCUCGAGCUCGCCGACGUCGAUCUCCAUAGUGUCUCCGACGACGUUUCUGAAAAUGCCGCGCCGUACUCGGGCGUAGGUCGGGAGCCGCUCCAGCGCGGCCCACCGCAGCGCCUCCUCAUCGUCCCCUCCCUCCUGAAACGACCCCGAUCUCGCGAACACGUUCUCCGCCGAGUUCCACAUCGGAAAUCCCCAAAAGCUCUCCCUAGCCUCAGAAAAAUGCGG